CCCCAAGAAGGCCACCAAGGCCUAGAUCCUAGUAGUGUCUGCGGUGUACUGAUGGUUCCAGUUUGGUUAGAUGUAGUCGCUGUUUCACUCUGUGUCCUGCGCCCCUGAUGUAAUCGCCAACAAAGGGGAAGCCGCUUGCUUCCCCUUGACUUAUGAAUUAGUAUCAAGUAUGCGUUUCUGAACUGAAUUCGUCUCUGUUGAUUUAUUCAGAUUUGGAACUGAACUAAAUUUGUUUCAUGGAUUGUUUGGGAUCCAAUGAGACCCUCCAUUCAUAAUCUGGCACGAUGAGCACAAAUUCCUCUAAUUUUUUUACAGACCAUAGUUGACAUGUAACUGACGGACGGAACUGAAGUUGUGCAAUCUUCAGAUUUCGCUUCCCUUGUGCAAUUCCUAGAGCCGGAACGUUUAUCAAGGCUCUGAACUCUGAAGCUACGCUCGUCUGUCAUCUGAACAAUUCUGCUGAGCACAUUUUAGUUGGGCGGCAGACAUUUUUUGCCCCAUUCUGCUGCGCAGAUUUCUGAAGCUAAAAAAAAUUCUCCAACAUAUGAUGUAGAGUGGAUAUGAGAAUGGAUAUUUAUUAAAAUAAAUACGAUUUAUUGACGGCCAGUCACUCAUUCUUAGAGCUUUGGAGAUCUAGAUGUAAACUUAACGAGUUUUUACAUCUUCGAGGCCUAAAAAUGCACCUCCAACAUAUGAUGUAGAUGUAAAAAAAGUUUACAUCACCUACUCCAAGUGAUGUAAAAUACAACACUUAGACAUGCAAAUUUGCAUCGCCAUCUCCCUCGUGAUGUAAAACUGCAGUCGCGCGCCAACCGCCACUUCCCCUCCUUUUCUCCCCCUGUGCGACCACCUCCACGCCGCCUGCCGCCACGCCACCCUCCAACCGGACCCUGCCGCACCCCACCACCGCCAGAUUCAGCCUCCCGACUCCCCCAGCGCCGGUUCCGCCGACUCAACGUCGCCUUGAUUCGCGUUGUCCUGGCCGUCGAGGUCCAUGAGGUGUUCCGCGAUGACGAGCGCGAGCGCUUCUUGGAGGCACUCAUGGCCAUCCUGCUCUAACUCGACGCCAUCCCAGGCCACGACUCGACCGUGCGGGUGACGCGGCACGCUAUCGGCCGCCGGGUCGUCGGCCUCCAGGAGGUCUUCAACUUUGUGCUCGCGGCGCUAGAGGCCGACACUUACGGGAUCUGGAGUGUUGGAGAAGUGUUGGCUGUGCCGCCGCCGGCGGCGUCCGCAGAGGAGGAGGCGAGGAGGAGUGGCUGGGGCAGAGGAGGAGCGGCGGCAACAGCUAACAGUGUGCAGCAGAGGAGGAGGCAAGGAUGAGCGGCAGCAUCAAGAGCACUCGAUUUCCUUGGCAGCGAGCGGCGCACGCAAGAGUUUGGCCGGCGGCGUGCACGAGCAUUGUCCAUUUGAUCGGUGGUUCAGUUUCCAUAGUAGGUUUAGUUUCAACAGUAUGAACUGUUUACAUCACCAAUUAUACAUCAUCUGUUGUGGUAGUAGUUUUCCAUCACCGAAUAUACAUCAUUUGUUGCAGUUGAAACUUUUUUGAGGAUGUAAAAAGCAUUUUGUGGUGAUGUAAAUUAUAAAAGAACUACUUUUACAUCUCCAAAUAUACUUCUAUUGGAGAUGCUCUUAUGCUUUCAUGAACAUGCAUUGUAUACAUGGGACGGUUCUAGGUUUGGGUAAACCUGGCCAUCCGUCGGGCCGGACCUACCAAAGCCCGACGCAGAAAACCUAGCCCCGAGCCCGGCCCGCCUAGCCGUCAGGCCUAAAAAUCAGGCCCAAGCCCGACCCAUCACGCAAUAAGCCUGUCGAGCCUCGGGCCUCAGGCCUGGACUCUUCCUUAAACUGCAAAUACGUCGGGUCUGAGCCUGACCCGGCCCGACCAUCAGCUCAAAAUCUAGGACCAGGCCCGGCCCGUGGGCAAGGUCAGGUCGGGCCAUCCGAGCCGGGCUGCCCAUGGCCAGGUAUAGGGGCAAACCUAUUUGCUUCUUCCUUUAUUUGCUCACCCUUCUCAUUAGCGACUGUCUAUUGACCUACGUGAAUGACAUAUCUUGUACUUGUGGAUUAUCACAAAAAGUAAUAACAUUGACCAAUAUGCAUUUCACAAAGCAGCCACUCAGGCCCUAAUUAAGGAGGUUUAGCUCUUACAGUUGAUGAAGACAAUAUGUUUUAUGGCUUUCCAUACUCUUAGUUAGAUUUUUCGACAAAUUACUGAAUAGAUUAGAUCAUUGAUGGUGCACAUUGCUGAGCUGCUACUUGUUGUGAUAGGCGUUGGGAUUCCCCGAAGAGGAAGGGUGAUGUAGUAUAGUAGCACAUAUUAUUUCCCUCAGUUAAGAACCAAGAUUUGUCAAACUAGUAGGAGACACCACACAAACAAGAUAAGCGGUACCUACACACACAAAGCAAAUGCUUGCACCUAACGAAGGUUAGAGGGUUGUCAAUCCCCUUGUUCUCGCCAAUUGCAAGGAUUAAAUCUGAUAGUGGUAGAUAAAUAGAACAAAAUAAAAACAAUGAGCAUUUUUUAGGGUUUUAGUAAAUAUGGAAGAUGGACCCGAGGCCAUAGGUUCACUAGAGGCAUCUCUCUCAUGAGCAUAGCAAAGGUUGGGUAGACAAAUUAUUGUUUGGCAAUUGACAGAAUAACACAUAGUUAUUAUGUUUAUUCAUGGCAUGAUCAAUAUAUAGACAUUACGUUCAUGAUAAGUAGACCAUUAAAUUUACUGACGCCUACUACUAUGACUUCACCCCAAGACCCCUAUCCAGCAUGCAUCUCAAAGUAUUAAGUUCAUGACAAGCCAAGUAAUGCUUUAAGCAUGAUGACAUAAUGUAGACAAAGUAAUAUCAAAUAAUAUGUUUGAACCCCGUUGUUUUAUCCUUAGUAGCAACAAUACAAAUACGUGCCAUGCAACUCCUUCUGUCACAGAGUAAGGACACCGCAAGAUUGAACCUACUACCAAGCACCUCUCCCACUGAAGGUAAAUCGAUUUAAUUGGCCGAAGAAGAUAGAAAGAUCGGAGAGAAAUACAAGGCUAUAAAAUCACACAUAAAUAAAUCUUAGAAAAGACUCAAAUACUUUCAAUGAAUACUGAUCAUAAACCCACAAUUAAUCAAAUUCCAACAAACACACUACGAGAAUUACAUCGAAUAGAUCUCCAAAGAAAUCAUUGUACUAUUCCAGAUAAAUAUUGAAUUGGAUUUCAAUCAAAAGCAGAUAAAUAUUGAACUGUACUAUUCCAGAUCAGGAACUACCCAAAUACCAAAGUCUGCAUCUGAUCUGAUUGCUACAAGCAAAAAAUGCAGCUUGCUAGUCCAGUCUUGACCGCAGCCUUGCUCCUCCAACACUAGUAGAAAACAGGGCUUUGGUCCAGGCCGGGUCAGCCCAUUAGUCCCGGUUCAGUCUAGAACCGGGACCAAUGUGGGCAUUGAUCCCAGUUCGUGAGCCCAGGGGGCCGGCCGGGCCAUGUGGGCCAUUGGUCCCGGUUCAUCUGGACCUUUUGGUCCCGGUUGGUGGGAUGAAUCGGGACCAAUGGGCCUCGCUCCUGGCCCACCACCAUUGGUCCCAGUUGGUGGCUUGAACCGGGACCAAAGGCUCCCCUUUAGUCCCGGCUCAUGUCACCAACCGGGACCAAUGAGGUGCCUAUAUAUACCCCCUCGCGCAAGAGCAGAGCACAGUGCUCUGUUUUUUCUGGCCGAGGGGGAGAGGGCUUUGUGGUGCUCUAGCUCACCUCCUAUGCACAUGAGGUGUUCGAUGGAAUGCCCGAGCCACACUACUUGAGCUUUCUCCUCUCGAAACUCGACCUCCAAGCUCCAUUUUCCUCGAGAUUUGUCUAGAUUUAGCGGUCCGUCACGCCCCGUGCCCGUCUUCACCGCCGUCGAUCACCCGCGCCGAUCUCAUCACCAACACCACCGUGGUGAGCCUCUUGUUCUUAUCUUCUUUCUGAAAGGAAAAAUAUUCUUACUUGUAUGUUUAGAUAGAUACUUGUAUCAUUUUUCUUACAUUUAUUAUUGCAUCUUAUAUAGUGCGAUGGUUUUGGUAUCCGUCCCCGUCGGCCCUCGUCCUGUCUAUGAUUCGGAUGUGGUAUGUAUAUUAUCUUUAUAACUAUUGGUUCAUUUAUUGUUUAUGAAAAUUAUGCCGACCAACGUGACAUAGAUUUUAUUUAUCUAGGAUGUAUGUGAAUCGGAAAUGCCAACCGACCCUAUUGUCGAGAGGUUAAAUUUAGUUGAAGAAGAAAACAAUUUGUUGAAGGAAAAAAUAAAAAAAAUUGAGGAGGAGAAGAUGAUAUUGGAGUUGCAUGUUGCGGAUGUCGUCGAUGAUCACAAGAUCAAGAUGGAUGCAAUGCGCUUGAAGAUUAGAAAGAUUAGAAAUAUGCCAUUCAUACCGAGGCUUGGUAUCAUUAUGCCGUUGGAUCAAUUAUUACCUUGGUUGCGAUUAUGAUCGCAUUUGUUUUCGCAUUGAAAUGUUUUAAAUAGUUUCAAUGUAUGGUUUAAUUAAUUAGAUGCACUGGAGAGCUAUAUGUUGUUAGAUGAGAACUAUGUAUGCACUUUGGUUUUAAUGUGAUGAUGAACUUCUAUUAAUUUGGACACUUAAUUAUAUAUAAUGCACGCAGAUGAACCGGCAAUGGAUGUACAGUGACAGACACACCCGCAAGUACAUUAAGGGCGUGCAUGAGUUUCUCGAUGCGACUGAGGCAAACAAGCAGAAUGGUUUUAUGUGUUGUCCAUGCACUGAAUGUGGGAAUACGAGGUCUUACUCUAACCGGAAAAUCCUUCACUCCCACCUGCUUUAUAAGGGUUUCAUGCCACACUAUAAUGUUUGGAUGAGGCACGGAGAAAUAGGGGUUAUGAUGGAAGACGGCGAAGAAGAAGACUACGAUGACAACUAUAUGCCCCCUGAAUACGGCGAUGCUGCAACGGGGGGAGCUGGUGAAGAUCAAGAGGAACCAGACGAUGUGCCCAAUGAUGCUGCAACGGGUGAAGCUGCUGAAGAUCAAGAGGAACCAGACGAUGUGCCCGAUGAUGAUGAUCUCUGCCAGGUCAUUGUCGAUGCAAGGACGCAAUGCAUUAGUCAAAAGGAGAAGCUGAAGUUCGAUUGCAUGUUAGAGGAUCACAAAAAAGGGUUAUACCCCAAUUGCGAAGAUGGCAACACAAAGCUCGGUACCGUACUGGAAUUGCUGCAGUGGAAGGCAAAGAAUGCUGUGGCUGACAAAGGAUUUGAGAAGCUACUGGAAAUAUUGAAGAAGAAGCUUCCAAAGGAUAACGAAUUGCCCGACAGUACAUACGCAGCAAAGAAGGUCGUAUGCCCUCUAGGAUUGGAGGUGGAGAAGAUACAUGCAUGCCCUAAUGACUGCAUCCUUUACAGCGGUGCAUACAAGGAUCUGAACGCAUGCCCGGUAUGCGGUGCAUUGCGGUAUAAGAUCAGACGAGAUGACCCUGGUGAUGUUGACGGCGAGCCCCCCAGGAAGAGGGUUCCUGCGAAGGUGAUGUGGUAUGCUCCUAUAAUACCACGGUUGAAACGUCUGUUCAAAAACGAAGAGCAUGCCAAGUUGAUGUGAUGGCACAGUGAGAACCGAAAGAAAGAUGGGAAGUUGAAAGCACCCACUACUUCUGUCAUUAAGUCUCUCUAUAUAGCUCAUCUCUUUCAUUGCAUGUAUUUAUAAUUAUCCUCACUAUAUUAUGCAGAAUGAAGAUCGCCGAAUUAAAGAAAAGACAAAUCGGUGAUAUUGGGUUCGUUAACACAUAUCUCAUAGAUGCAACUAAGGUUCAACAUCGUCCCGGAGAUACCGAGGCCAACUUGCUACGAUCAUUCAAAAAAAUGAAAACAAAGAUAUAAUACUCUUUCCUUACAACUUCAAGUGAGUGUUACUGUUUUGUGCAUAUUCGGUUUCCCUUAUAUAUUAGUCCAGGUUAUAGUAAUGUAAUUGAUGAGUUAUGCAUGCGUGUGCAGUUUCCACUAUAUUCUCCUAGAGAUUAGGCUUGAGCAGGGAGUAGUAACCGUCUUGGACUCUAAACGAAAAGAUCCCCAGGAGUAUGCGAACAUAACUGAAAUCCUCAAGAAGUAAGUUAAAUCGAUCAUUAUUCACCAUAUCAGCAACUUUGUUCAUUUCCUGAUAUCAAGUAAUUGUGUUCUUUGUCCGACAGAGUUUGGACAAAAUUCACUAGAAAAGUUCCGGGACUGCCGAAAGAGCUGGAAUUUAGACACCCGAAAGUAAGUACUAUAGUAGCAUGUUCCGCGCAUCUCCUAGUGAUUCAAGCGCUAGUUUCAUCAAUACCAUUUAGUAUUCUUGCUUAUCAGUUUGAUUAACCUCUAUUUCUUGUAAAGUGGUUGUGGCAGGAAAAAGGGAAUGAUUUCUGUGGAUACUACGUCUGCGAGUCCAUCCGCCACAUGACCUGUGAGCGGGGCGGGUACUCUGAUGAACAAUAUGAAGUACGUAAAUAACAACAUUUACAAUUUUAUUUUAUUACCAUCAUUUGUAUUGAGUUUCAUUCAUUCAUAUAUAUAUAUAUAUGUAUUGACCCCCUUCUUCAAAUUAGAUGUUUCGGAAGCGGGAUGAACUCCUAGCACCAGCUCGCAUGCGAGCAAUUUGAAGAGGAAUUGGCGGCAUUCUUUCUUGACCAAGUGAUCGCUGAAGACGGAGAAUACUAUGUGGACCAUGAGUCCAUAUGAUUAUAUUUGUAAGAGAUAAUUAUUGUAUAUAUGUAGCCGGUAGUGUCGGAUAGAUAUACGAGAACUUGUUGUUCGACCAAUCUCUCGGAGAAGGAGAGGUGGUCGAUAUCACUUCUCUCUGUAUGCAUAUAUGUUCAUGACGAUCUUCUAUUUCCUUCGUUUUCUUACUAGCUAACUAGCGUGUCUAGUUCUCUCUAUACGUAUGUAUAGUACGUAGCGUCGACCAAGCACGGACGUAAGAGAGGACACUUCUCUCUAUUAAUUAUAGCUAGCUAAUACAAUAUAUGAAACACCUAAAUUAACCCCCCAAAACCCCCAACCCCCCCCCCCUUUAAAAAAAACAAAACCCCCAGCCACAGAAAUGCUGACGCGUGGAUGCCUAUUGGUCCCGGUUGGUGCCACCAACCGGGACCAAAGGGUCUCCUGCCUGGGCUCUGCGCACUGCCCACGUGGAGGCCCAUUAGUCCCGGUUCUGGAUUGAACCGGGACUAAAGGUACAGAGCAUUAGUACCGACACUUUAGUCCCGGUUCAGGAACCGGGACUAAAGGCCCUUACGACCGGGACUAUAGGCCCUUUUUCUACCAGUGCAAUCCAGAAGAUCAACAGCGGCGGCCUUGCUGUCACUACGCCACACGCACACUUGUGCCUCCUCACGAACGGCGGCGUUUGGAUUGCCUACCCCGUCAGGGGCAGCGCUUGGAGCUUCUGGUCCGUCAAGAGCAUAGUUUUAAAUAGCCGGCUAUAGCCCCGCUAUAGCUCCGUUAUAGCUGUUUGAGGGUGUUGCCGUUAAAUGAUUUCACGUACAAUUUGCCGCUAUAGCCCAGCUAUAGCUGUUUUUAAGGGUCGCCGCUAAAUGCCAUAGCCCGCUAUUUAAAACGUAGGUCAAGAGCGGCAGCGCGGUGUUUCCCAGUGUGACGCGCGAGUGCGGCAGCAGCGUGGCCUCCCAGCCUCGUUCCGCUGAUGGAUCUACCGCCAUGGAGCAGAGUGCUCGCCUCCUUCUUCCGCCAGAUCCUUGGUCGAGGUGGGGGGUGGGGGAGGACGAGGGGCGGGAGACGCUGACGAGGCUGCACUUCCGCGUGGUCGGGGCGCCGGGUGGGUGAGUCAGGGAGAAAGGGAGAGAGAGGCGCGAGUGAGGCGUUCCGCGUGGUCCGGCCGAUUCGGAGGAACGCCCAGGUUCGGCAUAAACAGGGAAUAUGCCGUUCUCUGGAAUCAGUGGAUUCUGGUUCCUUCGCCAAUCUAAACACAGGAACAGGCCCUCGGGAUGGAACCAACCCAUGACAUUCCGCUUCGUGAUAGAAACCAAACACACCCCUAGUGUCUCUUUUGGUCAAAAAAACACCGUAAAAUUUCAUCGUGUUUGGACCUCGUUCGUGAAACGAAGAAAUAGACAAAAAAAAACAGAAACUGACACUGGGCACUAAGUUAAUAGGUUUGUCCACAAAAAUGAUAUGAAAUGGCAUAUAAAGCAUACAAGAUUUGUAAUAUACUAGAAAAAAUGCCCGUGCGUUGCAACGGGAGAAAAAGUACGCAUGCCCCUAUCUCAAUAAGCAUGGUCUCAAGAUCUCCAUAGGUCCACGUCCUUUUGUUCAACAUGACGCCCAUCUAUGUCACCGCCUAUCCUCCUUCCCACCGUCAUAUUAUUGCUAUUUACUCUGGGAAAAAUCAUGUUAUUUAUCUUAAUCCACUAUACAUUUUUUUAUUUUGUAUUAAUCAAACUGCAUUUGUUAAUUAUUUAAUUUAACCGAUCAUGCAUUAAGUUUUAAUGUUUGUUACCCUGCAAAAAAAGUUUUAUCGUUUGUGACUGGCCAUGCACUAAUUGUGUUUGUACUUAUAAAAUAAAAUGGUAUUUUACCCCAUUAAUAUUUGCGGACUGAAACAAAGUAAAGUGAAGCAAUUGCCACACGAUGGAGUUUCCAAACUUGCACUAACUUUUCUUCUCAAGCUAUAGUCAUGCUCAAACAUAGGGCAUAUGAAAGUGUACGGAUUGUGGAUCUAGAAAAAUUGUGCGUAUUCACAUUAUACCUCAUUAUUUUUUAUGAAAAUAAUCACGUUAUUUAUUUUCAUCCACUGUACAUUUUUUGAUUUGUUUAUUAAUGAAACUGCAUGUGUUAAUUAUUUAUUUUAACAGCCAUGCAUUAAGUUUUAAUGUUUGUGAGCGACCAAUUUUUUACACUUCCGUAACCAAUUAAUAACUUGAUGACAAAAAGAAUCGACCGAAAAGAUGCAUCCUCUUUGACAUGUACUCCUAACUCCAGUCGGCUAAAAAAGAGUUCACGUCUCUUUUCUUUUCCCCACUUUAAACUUGAUAGAAACAAUAUGAUAGAAAAGAUCCAAUUCGCUGCCUACUUUUGUUUCUGUUCCCACGACUUCGUUCCUCUUAAUUACCCAUUUAAUUGCCCAUCAUAUUUCUCAAGCAUGCAUUAGGAAUCCCGUUCCUUAAUUAUCCCACAAUAGUGUUGAUUUCUUUUUGCCCCAUUCGAUUUCCCCAUAAUAUUUCUACGAAUCCUCUGAUCACCAAUUUCCGAGCUGGCUUAUUAAGAUGAUUGAUGAUAGGUAAUUUGAACACGUAUACAAAUUGAUGGCUGUGCUUUUAAAAAAGCGAGGUGGUACUAUUUGCUAAUAAAACCAACCGCUACCAGCUAACGUAGUAGGCCUACUUUAGUUGGUUGUUGUCGAGCGCUACAAGAUGGAAUGUUGUGAGUUCUAUACCUCACGCCCGUGUUUUUUUUUUUUGAGACAAUCUCGCGAAAUUUUUAUUAAACCGUCACAAUGUUUACAGGGACGAACGGAAGAUCUCCGGGAUGGCCUAACCAAACAUGACGGCCAACCCCUAGAGAAAGUGCAUGUUUCCCUAAAUUGUGAGCCUCAUAAUUUGAGCUCCUAAAUUCAUGGCUAAACUUACAAAAAUCAAAAGACGACGAGUGAUCUAUUACUUCAUGUAUGAUUGCUCCAUACCGAGAUGCAUUUUCCUUCGUAAUGUCCUCAACCACCACUUUGCAGUCGGACGCCACAUGGAUCCUCCGCAAGUAUAAAUCAUCUGAUAGAGCAAGGGCUUCCCGAAUGGCCAAUGCUUCCAAUGUCUCCGGUUCUGAAACAUGUCUGAACACUAGGGUUGAGGCUCCCAGGAAUGAUCCAUCAGCGCUCCUGCUUAUCGCACCCACUGCUCCGUAUCUUCUGCUAUGGGGUACUGCAGCAUCCACAUUUACUUUUGCACUGUCCGCUACCGGCGGUUGCCAGACGGUAGAUCUUGCGGCCUUCGCUACCGCCGGCUUCGACGACACUGUAUUCAACACUUGAAGCUCGGCCAAGUAUCGUGUGAUGAAACCGUGUAUUGAUAAUGGUGACUGAUAGAUAGCCUCGUGGAUUGCUUUCCUUCUCGCUCCUCAAAUUGCCCAAAGCGUGACCACAAGCCGAACAAAAUCUUCCUUACCCAGUAUAUCAUGUAGCACAAAUAGCCAGUCCUUCGGGCUCUCCUCUUGGCGAUCCACAAGAUGUUGCACCAGAUGUUCAGGGGCCAACGCCCAAACACUGCUGGACAUCGGACAUGUAAGUAACGCAUGCUUCCAUGUGUCUCUUGCCCCGCAGAGGUUGCAUGUAUCUUCUGUCAACAUAUGGCGAUGCAUCAACAACUCACCGCAGGGCAUAGAUUGUCUAGCUAACCUCCAAACGAACAUUCUGAGCUUUUUUUAGAACCAUGGCUACAACCUACACCAUGGGGGGGACAUAUUCGUUCCUCACUACAUCCCUCAUGUCAUUUGGUACAUCAGCAAGGAACAUAAAAUCUCCUGAGACACGUGCGUUCAAGGCUAGCUCAUGCGCGAGCCUGUUCCUUUCCCUUCUAACUGCGUUGAUCUCUACACUUGCGUAGCUCAAGAGGAGGGCCUUAGUUUCCGCAAUCCAUGCAUGCCAUGAGGAUCUGCAUUUCUCCUCCGCCUUCAGAUCCCGAACGACUCCGGUAUUGUCCAUCUCAAGGAUCAAAUUUCCAAAGUAAUACUUUGCAAAUUCAGAUAAUCCCAAUGCCGCCGCUGCAGCCUCUGCCUCUUCUGCCGAACUGCAAUUGGGAAGUCGCCGACCUACAGAAAGAAACACAUGGCCCUUGUUGUCUCUCGCAACCGCUCCGCCCCACGCUUCUCCUGUUUCCUCCAGGAAAGCCGCAUCUGUGUUUAACUUUGCCCAGCCUGCUGGGGGUGCAGUCCAAUGGCUAGGUCCAGUUAUAGUCACUAUGCUCGGUUUGGUCGGGAAUAGAGACUGUUUAUUCUUCUCACCUUCGUGCAUCGGUUCGCGUGCAGCCAAUCGGAUCUCGUCAUGGAGUCUGAGCAGGUAUUGGACGGCAACUGACACCGUUUGUUUCCCAUCACCAUGGAUCACAUUGUUUCUUAGGUUCCAGGACUGCCACAUGAUUAGCAUCAACUUAGUUCUGAUCUCCUUAUGCUGUCCCAGUAGCAUCAGUUGUAGCCAAUCCCCACCAGAGUAUGUAAGUACAGAUUCCCUAGGGAUGUCCCAGUAUGUCCUCAUGGAUUGGCGGAGGGCAACACUCCUCGUACAUGCGAUAACAGCAUGGUACUCAUCUUCCGUACCUGUACCGCAAAUUUCACAUACAUUGUCAUCGGCUAGAGUCCUUCUGUAAGCAUUGUGUUUGGUAGCGAGUGAAUUUGUGGCUACUCUCCAUCCGAAUACCUUUAUCUUCUUCGGUAUAUCUGCCUUCCAAAUUGCAUCCCAUAUGCUCCGGUCACCCGGAUCUCUUGAGGAACUUGUUGCUAUCUCUGUUCUAUUUCUCGUGAGAGAAUCAGCGAGCUUGUAGGCGCUUCUAACUGUGAAGGCACCUGACUUCUCGUAGUGCCAGGCAUAGCAAUCCUCCAUUUCGAUCCGUGGGAUUUUAAUUUUGCAUAUCUCAUCUGCAUCAAAGGGAUGGAAGAUCUGCCUCACUAGUCCAACAUUCCACUCUUUGUUUUGUGUAUCAAUCAGUUGGUUUACCCACCUCAGUCUAGACCUCCUUAUAAAAGAGGCCACCUUCAAUCCCUCUUUCCUUGGGAUCCAUUGGUCUCUUAUAAUCUGAAUGUUUUUGCCAUUACCCACUCGCCAGAUGCUGCUCCAAUUCUUGCUUUCAUGCUGAACAUAUGACGAUCCUUCCGUUUCAUGCAGCCACGCCUCUCGAUUGAUUUUUUUCCUCAAGAUCAUACGGUAUGCCGAGCCAACACUGAAAAUACCACGUGGUUCCUCGUGCCAUGCCCAAAAGUCUGAAACUGUGCGCGUACAAAGUGGUAUCUUUAGGAUUUCCUCAGAGUCGAACGGAGUGAAGAUAGACCGAACUAGUCCUUCAUUCCAAGACGGAGUAGAUGCACUGAUGAGUUGCGCCACUCUAGUAGGAGGAUGUUGCACCAGAGAUGUUAUAGGUCUUUUGAAACUCUCCCUCGGUAUCCAGUUGUGUUCCCAAAUGUCUGUGGUUUCCCCGUCUCCAAUCCUCCUGAUCAUGCCUUGUGCCAAAAUGUCCCGGCCAUCCACAAUGGCCCUCCAAAUCUGCGAUGGAUGAGACCCCAGCUCUGCAUCUGGCAAUGAGCAGUUUGGAAAGUAAAUUGAUUUUAGGAUCCUGGAGCUUAAUGAGGAUUCCGAAGUCAUUGUGCGCCAAGCCUGCCGUGCGAGAAGUGCCAGGUUAAAUAUUUCCAUGUCUCUGAACCCUAGGCCACCCAUAUGUUUCGGUCUAGUCAUAACAUCCCAUGACACCCAACUGGGCUUCCUUCUGCCCUGCUUACUCCCCCACCAGAAUUGCCUUAUGAUCGAUGUGAUGUUCUCGCAAAGCCGGCUGCCAUGGAAUAAACAGGUAUCGCUUGUGCCACAGACUUGAUCAGAACUUCUUUGCCCGCCGAGGACAGCAGCUUCUCCAUCCAACCUUUGAUCUUUUCCCAUACUCUAUCUCUCAGGUAUUUAAACGUUCCAUUCUUUGAAUGACCCACAUCAGUUGGCAUUCCCAGAUACCGAUCAGACAAGGACUCGUUUUGGACCUGUAAAGAAUCCUUCACCUUUGUUCUGGUGGGGCCCGGACACCCCUUGCUGAAAAAUAUGGAUGAUAUAUCACGGUUUAUCCUUUGCCUCGAAGCGUCACAAUAUUUCUCUAGCAGGUUUUACACUGCAACUGCUCCCUCCACACUCGCCUUGAAAAGCAACAGGCUGUCAUCUGCAAAUAGAAGGUGGUUAAUGGUUGGAGCCAUGGGGUCCACCUUGAUACCUGCUAGUGAUGACUGAGAACUGGAUUUCAGGAGGCACGAAAGGCCCUCUGCUGCAAUCAAGAAUAAGUAGGGGGAGAUUGGGUCUCCCUGCCGGAUUCCUCUGGUUGGUUUGAAAGGGUCAAGUUUCUCACCAUUGAAAAGAACUGAAAAAGAGACAGAUGAAACCAUAGCCAUGACUGUGUUUAUCCACUGUUCUGCGAAACCAAGUUUAGUCAUGAUAGCUCUCAAGUAUGUCCAUUCUAGCCUAUCAUAGGCCUUCAUCAUAUCCAACUUCAGUGCACAAAAACUGUUUGACUUCGCCCUAGACCGCUUCAUAAAAUGCAAACAUUCAUAUGCACAAAUGAUGUUAUCCGUAAUUUGCCUCCCUGGCACAAAUGCAGACUGCUCUUCCGAAAUAAUAUCAGGUAAUAUAAUCUUCAACCUAUUAGCGACCACCUUGGAUGCUAUUUUGUACAGUACAUUGCAAAGACUAAUAGGUCGAAACUGAGACAAAGCAGUGGGAUUCGUUACCUUCGGUAUAAGAACCAAAACCGUGUUAUCGUUACUUCCAUACUACUUUGCUACUAAAUAUUUUGCUGCAGAUAUUUAGUCUUUCAGGUUGGUCGAAUUGACAACUCAGCUGCUAAUACUUGAGAAUAUUCUUUGGCUCCCCUUGUGUCGAAUCAAUAAAUUUGGGUUGAAUACUCUACCCUCGAAAACGGUUGCGAUCCCCUAUACUUGUGGCUUAUCAACAUAAUGUAGAAGGAUAAACUCAAGCAAUAUGAUGAAAACCCCAUCUAUUUACCCUUGAUGGCAACAAUACAAAUACGUACCUCGCUACCCCUACUUUGUCACUGGUGAGGACACCACAAGAUUGAACCCAAAACUAAGUGAUACGUCCAUUUUGUAUCAUGCUUUUAUAUCGAUAUUUAUUGCAUUAUGGGUUGUUAUUACACAUUAUGUCACAAUACUUAUCCUAUUCUCUCUUAUUUUACAAGGUUUGCACGAAGAGGGAGAAUGCCGGCAGCUGGAAUUCUGGGCAGGAAAAGGAGCAAAUAUUAGAGACAUAUUUUGCACAACUCCAAAAGUACUGAAACUCCACGGAAGUCAGUUUUGGGAUAUAUAAAAAAUAUUGGGCGAAGAAAGCACCGGAGGGGGGCCACCCACCAUCCACGAGGGUGGGGGCGCGCCCUACCCCCUGGGCGCGCCCCCUGUAUCGUGGGCCCCCUGGCAGGCUUCCGGUGCCCAUAUUUGGCUAUAUGAAGUCUUUCACCCUGGAAAAAAUCAUAAGCAAGCUCUUGGGACGAAACACCCCUGCCACAAGGUGGAACCUUGGCGGAACCAAUCUAGGGCUCCGACAGAGCUUUUCUGUCGGAGAAACAUCCCUCCGGGAGGGGGAAAUCAUCGCCAUCGUCAUCACCAUCGAUCCUCUCAUCGGGAGGGGGUCAAUAUCCAUCAACAUCUUCACUAGCACCAUCCCAUCUCAAACCCUAGUUCAUCUCUUGUAUCCAAUCUUUGUCCCAAAACCUCAGAUUGGUACUUGUGGGUUGCUAGUAGUGUUGAUUACUCCUUGUAGUUGAUGCUAGUUGGUUUAUUUGGUGGAAGAUCAUAUGUUCAGAUCCUUUAUGCAUAUUAAUACCCCUCUGAUUAUGAACAUGAAUAUGAUUUGUGAGUAGUUACGUUUGUUCCUGAGGACAUGGGAGAAGUCUUGCUAUAAGUAGUCAUGUGAAUUUGGUAUUCGUUUGAUAUUUUGAUGAGAUGUAUGUUGUCUUCCCUCUAGUGGUGUCAUGUGAACGUCGACUACAUGACACUUCACCAUUGUUUGGGCCUCGGGGAAGGCAUUGGGAAGUAAUAAGUACAUGAUGGGUUGCUAGAGUGAUAGAAGCUUAAACCCUAGUUUAUGCGUUGCUUCGUAAGGGGCUAAUUUGGAUCCAUAUGUUUCAUGCUAUGGUUAGGUUUACCUUAAUACUUCUUUUGUAGUUGCAGAUGCUUGCAAGAGGGGUUAAUCAUAAGUGAGAUGUUUGUCCAAGGAAGGGCAGUACCCAAGCACCAAUCCACCCACAUAUCAAAUUAUCAAAGUAACGAACGUGAAUCAUAUGAGCGUGACGAAAACUAGCUUGACGAUAAUUCCCAUGUGUCCUCGGGAGCGCUUUCCUUUAUAUAAGAGUUUGUCCAGGCUUGUCCUUUGCUACAAAAAGGAUUGGGCCAUCUUUCUGCACCUUAUUUACUUUUAUUACUUGUCACCCGUUACAAAUUACCUUAUCACAAAACUAUGUGUUACGGAUAAUUUCAGUGCUUGUAGAGAAUACCUUACCGAAAACCGCUUGUCAUUUCCUCCUGCUCCUCGUUGGGUUCGACACUCUUACUUAUUGAAAGGACUAUGAUAGAUCCCCUAUACUUGUGGGUCAUCAAGACUCUUUUCUGGCACCGUUGCCGGUGAGUGAAGCGCCUUUGGUAAGUGAAAUUUGGUAAGGAAAGAUUUAUAUAGUGUGCUGAAAUUUACUGUCACUCGUUACUAUGGAAAGUAAUCCUUUGAGGGGCUUGUUUGGGGUAUCUUCACCCCGACCAGUAGAGCAAAGAGUUGCUCCUCAACCUACUGAGCCUACUGAAAAUGUUUACUUUGAAAUUCCUUUGGGUAUGAUAGAGAAACUGCUAUCUAAUCCUUUUACAGGAUAUGGAACAUUGCAUCCCGAUUUGCACCUACUCUAUGUGGAUGAAGUUUGUGGAUUAUUUAAGCUUGCAGGUAUGCCCGAGGAUGUUUUCAAGAAGAAGGUAUUCCCUUUAUAUUUGAAGGGAAAGGCAUUGGCAUGGUUUAGGCUAUGUGAUGAUAUUGGAUCAUGGAACUACAACCGAUUGAAAUUGGAAUUUCAUCAUAAGUUCUAUCCUAUGCAUCUGGUUCAUCGUGAUCGUAAUUAUAUAUAUAUAGUUUUUGGCCUCGCGAAGGAGAGAGCAUCGCUCAAGCUUGGGGGAGGCUUAAGUCAAUGUUAUAUUCAUGCCCCAAUCAUGAGCUCUCAAGAGAAAUUAUUAUUCAAAAAUUUUAUGCUCGACUUUCUCUCAAUAAUCGCUCCAUACUCGAUGAUACGUCUCCAACGUAUCUAUAAUUUUUUAUUGCUCCAUGCUACUUUAUCUACUGUUUUGGACUAUAUUGGGCUUUAUUUUCCACUUUUAUAUUAUUUUUGAGACUAACCUAUUAACCGGAGGCCCAGCCCAGAAUUGUUGUUUUUUGCCUAUUUCAGUAUUUCGAGAAAACAGAAUAUCAAACGGAGUCCAAACGGAAUGAAACCUUCGGGAACGUGAUAUUCUCACCGAACGUGAUCCAGGAGACUUGGACCCUACUCCAAGAAGUUUCCGGGGAGGUCACGAGGGUGGAGGGCGCCCCCCCUGGGGCGCGCCCCCUGCCUCGUGGGCCCCUCGGAGCUCCACCGACGUGCUCCUUCCUCCUAUAUAUACCUACGUACCCCUAUUAGACCAAAGCCGGAGCCAAAAACCUAAUUCCACCACUGCAACUUCCUGUAUCCACAAGAUCCCAUCUUGGGGCCUGUUCCGGAGCUCCGCCGGAGAGGGCAUCCAUCACGGAGGGCUUCUACAUCAACACCAUAGCCCUUCCGAUGAAGUGUGAGUAGUUUACUUCAGACCUUCGGGUCCAUAGCUAGUAGCUAGAUGGCUUCUUCUCUCUUUUUGGAUCUCAAUACAAUGUUCUCCCCCUCUCUCGUGGAGAUCUAUUCGAUGUAAUCUUCUUUUUGCGGUGUGUUUGUUGAGACCGAUGAAUUGUGGGUUUAUGAUCCAACUUAUCUAUGAAUAAUAUUUGAAUCUUCUCUGAAUUCUUUUAUGUAUGAUUGAGUUAUCUUUGCAAGUCUCUUCAAAUUAUCCGUUUGGUUUGGCCAACUAGAUUGGUAGUUCUUGCAAUGGGAGAAGUGCUUAGCUUUGGGUUCAAUCCUGCGGUGUCCUUACUCAGUGACAGAAAGAGUUGCAAGGCACGUAUUGUAUUGUUGCCAUCAAGGAUAAAAAGAUGGGGUAUUUAUCAUAUUGCAUGAAUUUAUUCCUCUACAUCAUGUCAUCUUGCUUAAGGCGUUACUCUGUUUUUAACUUAAUACUCUAGAUGCAUGCUGGAUAGCGGUCGAUGAGUGGAGUAAUAGUAGUAGAUGCAGGCAGGAGUCGGUCUACUUGUCACGGACGUGAUGCCUAUAUACAUGAUCAUACCUAGAUAACCUCGUAACUAUGCUCAGUUCUAUCAAUUGCUCAACAGUAAUUUGUUCACCCACCAUAGAAUAUCUAUGCUCUUGAGAGAAGCCACUGGUGAAACCUAUGGCCCCCGGGUCUAUUCUCAUCAUAUCAAUCUCCAUUACUUUAUUUUACUUGUUUUGCUUUUACUUUUCACUUUGCAUCUUUAUACCAAAAAUACCAAAAAUAUUAUCUCUAUCAGAUCUCACUCUCGUAAGUGACCGUGAAGGAAUUGACAACCCCUAAGCGUUGGUUGCGAGUUGCUACCGUUUUGUGCAGGUAAGAGGGACUUGCGUGUGACCUCCUACUGGAUUGAUACCUUGGUUCUCAAAAACUGAGGGAAAUACUUACGCUACUGUGUUGCAUCACCCCCUCCUCUUCGGGGAAAACCAACGCUAGCUCGAGACAUAGCACUCGAUACUUCUUGUACUGGUUCUUUUAUCAUGAAGACUAUUGAAUUCAAAUGGGAUUUAUUGGAAAGAAUUAAACGCAACUCUAAAGAUUGGGAACUCGGCGAAGGUGAGGAGUUAGGUAUAACACCUAAGUUUGAUUGUGUUAAAUCUUUUAUGGAUACCGAUGCUUUUCGUGAAUUUAGCACUAAAUAUGGACUUGACUCUGAGACAGUAGCUUCUUUCUGUGAAUCAUUUGCUACUCAUGUUGAUCUCACCAAGGAGAAGUGGCUUAAAUAUCAUCCUCCCAUUGAAGUAAAAGUAGUUGAACCUAUUAAAGUUGAAGAAAAGACUAUCACUUAUAAUGUUGACCCUAUUAUUCCUACCGCUUAUAUUGAUAAACCACCUUUCCCUGUUAGAAUAAAGGAUCAUGCUAAAGCUUCAACUAUGGUCAACAAAAGUAAUAUUAGAACACCCAAACCCUCUGAGCAAAUUAAAGUUGAACCUAGUAUUGCUAUGGUUAAAGAUUUCUUGGUCGAUAAUAUUGAUGGGCAUGUUAUUUACUUCUAUGAUGAAGUUGCUAGAAUUGCUAGACCCGAUACUAAAAAUAAACAUAGACAUGUUGUUGGCAUGCCUGUUAUAUUUGUUAAAAUAGGAAAUCAUUGCUAUCAUGGUUUAGGUGAUAUGGGUGCUAGUGCCAGUGCAAUACCUUAUUAUUUAUACGAAUAAAUUAUACACGAUAUUGCACCUGCUGAGUUAGAAGAUAUUGAUAUUACUAUUAAGCUUGCCAAUAGAGAUACUAUCUCACCUGUUGGGAUUGUUAGAGAUGUUGAAGUCCUGUAUGGCAAAAUUAAAUAUCCUACUGAUUUUCUUGUUCUUGCUUCCCCACAAGAUAACUUUUGUCCCAUUAUAUUUGGUAGACCCUUCUUCAAUACUGUUAAUGCUAAGAUAGACUGCAAAAAGGAUAUUGUUUCUGUUGGUUUAGGGGAUAUGUCUCAUGAUUUCAAUUUUGCUAAAUUUCGUAGACAGCCCCAUGAUAAAGAAUUGCCUAGUAAAGAUGAAAUUAUUGGUCUUGCUUCUAUUGUCGUGCCUCCUAAUGAUCCUUUAGAACAAUAUUUGCUAGACCAUGAAAAUGAUAUGUUUAUGAAUGAAAGAAAGGAAAUAGAUGAAAUAUUCUUUAAAUAGGGACCUAUUUUGAAACACAACUUGCCUGUCGAAAUUCUAGGGGAUCCUCCUCCACCCAAGGGUCUAUUCUCUAUGCUCUUGAGAGAAGCCACUAGUGAAACCUAUGGCCCCCGGGUCUAUUCUCAUCAUAUCAAUCUCCAUUACUUUAUUUUACUAGUUUUGCUUUUACUUUUCACUUUGCAUCUUUAUACCAAAAAUACCAAAAAUAUUAUCUCUAUCAGAUCUCACUCUCGUAAGUGACCGUGAAGGGAUUGACAACCCCUAAGUGUUGGUUGCGAGUUGCUACCGUUUUGUGCAGGUACGAGGGACUUGCGCGUGACCUCCUACUGGAUUGAUACCUUGGUUCUCAAAAACUAAGGGAAAUACUUACGCUACCGUGCUGCAUCACCCCCUCCUCUUCGGGGAAAACCAACGUUAGCUCGAGACGUAGCAAGAAGGAUUUCUGGCGCCGUUGCCGAGGAGGCCUACGCCAAGUCAAGUCAAGAUUUACUCUCCCGUCAACGAGCCAUUUCUGGCGCCGUUGCCGGGGAAGCCUACGCAAAAGUCAACAUACCAAGUACCCAUCACAAUCUCUAUCUCUCGCAUUACAUUAUUUGCCAUUUGCCUCUCGUUUUCCUCUCCCCCACUUCACCCUUGCCGUUUUAUUCGCCCUCUCUUUCCCAAUCUCCUCCUCUUUUUCCCUUUGCAUUUUGUUUGCUCGUGUGUUAGUUUGCUUGCUUGUUCGUCACUAUGGCCUUACCUAAUUUUGGUGAUCUUCACCUUAAAAGGCUAGAAGAUAUCGAAAACGAUGUCAGGAAGUUUAUGGUCUUGCAAUUUGAGCAUACUAAUUUCUUUAGAAACGAGCUUAAGGAACAAAAGAGUUUUAUGAGUUAUAUGAAUAAAGAGCUCGAUGAUAUGUCCAAAGAAUUUGAUGGUGUAAGAGCCCAAAUUGCUCAUCUUGAAAAAAUGACCGCUGAAAUUUCGGAUAUGCAAGCCACCUUAGUCAAUAAGAUGGCCGCUAAACCGAAUAACUAUGAGAAUCAAGAUGAAGAUCUAAAAGUUAUUGAUGUGUCCCCUAUUAAAUCGUUGUUUUGCAAUAUGAAUCUUGAUGAAUCUAAUUAUGAUCUUCCCUUACCUAGAAGGCGUUCUAAGAAUUCUGAGUUUUUAGAUCCUGAUGAUGAAAUUGAUAAAAAAGGGAUUGAAAGAAAUAAAAAUCUAGAUAUUGCUAAACCCACUAUUUUGGAUCUCAAGGAAUUUAACUAUGAAAAUUGCUCUUUAAUUGAUUGUAUUUCAUUGUUGCAAUCCGUGUUCAAUUCUCCUCAUGCUUAUAGUCGAAAUAAGGCCUUUACCGAACACAUUGUUGACGCCUUAAUGCAAUCUUAUGAAGAAAAGCUUGAGUUGAAAGUUUCUAUCCCUAGAAAACUCCAUGAUGAGUGGGAACCUACAAUUAAGAUUAAAAUUAAAAAUUAUGAGUUUCAUGCUUUGUGUGAUUUGGGUGCUAGUGUCUCUACUAUCCCCAAAGCUUUGUGUGAUUUGCUAGAUUUCCGUGACUUUGAUGAUUGCUCUCUAAACUUGCAUCUUGCGGAUUCCACUAUUAAAAAGCCUAUGGGAAGAAUUAAUGAUGUUCUUAUUGUUGCAAAUAGGAAUUAUGUGCCCGUAGAUUUUAUCGUUCUUGAUAUAGAUUGCAAUCCUUCAUGUCCUAUUAUUCUUGGUAGACAUUUCCAUAGAACGAUUGGUGCAAUUAUUGAUAUGAAGGAAGGGAUAUUAAAUUCCAAUUUCCCUUAAAGAAGAGCAUGGAACACUUCCCUAGAAAGAAAAUAAAAUUACCAUAUGAAUCUAUCAUGACAGCCACUUAUGGAUUGCCUACCAAAGAUGGCAAUACCUAGAUCUAUCCUUGCUUUUAUGCCUAGCUAGGGGCGUUAAAUGAUAGCGCAUGUUGGGAGGCAACCCAAUUUUAUUUUGUGUUUUUUGUUUUUGGUUUUUUUAGGAAUAAAUAAUCCAUCUAUAUUCUGUUUAGAUGUGGUUUUAUCUUUUAAUUAGUGUUUGUGCCAAGUUAAACCUAUUAGAUCUUCUUGGAAGAUAGUUAUUUGAUCUUGCUGUAAUUUCCAGAAUCUUUGCGCUCAGUGCCUGAAUUGUCAAAAAUCACCAGAAUGUGAUAGAAUAGUGAUUCCAAUUGAUGCUGAUCAAUAAAAAAAUUUCCCAGGUCUUCUAAUUUUGGUAGAAUUUUUUGGGUUCCAUGAUGGAGCUGUACAGGUCAGGGUGGACGUCGACCAGUUUGCUCUCCCUAAUGAUGCUUGCCACCUCCUUGACGACGUCAAUCAUCCUGCUAGAGACGCUCAGCUCAUUCUCCAUCAAGCCGCCCCUCUUCAUCUUCCUAUCAAGCACAAGAACGUGAUCCCCACCCUUAUCAGUACCAUUAAGGAUGAUUGUCUUUGACUCCUGAGUGUCUAGAUAGUCAUGCGUAGGCAAGCCGAGCGGCUCACCGGAGCCAAUGGCAUGCUUGCACGUUGCCACCCGAAAGGAGAAGAUCGUCGUGAUAAUCCCCAAGUGCAAGGAAUCAUCGUAGCACUUUCCAGUGAAGGUGUUAAGUAUGGAGUGUCGAAACCACAAGGAGAUACAAGUAGGAUUGAUAUUUCCCUCACGUCGAUGCCACUAUUACAUAUCUAGAAACAAGAAAUAAAUCUACGCCACAAGUAUAAGGAGAUAGCUUUGUAAGAUAAUAAAGAACGUAUAAAUAAAGGUUAGGUGUUAUCUAAGUAAAAUUACAAUAAAAUACAAAUAGCGAAUGUGGAAAACCGGUGGUAGGAUGUGCCGAAUUGUCCCAAGGCAAAUAGCUAAGUUACUAAACCGAUUAUCAUCAUUGCGGUUUUAUAUGUGGGAGAGGCCUCUGCUAACAUACUAUCCGUAUUUGGAAUUAUAUGUAUGUAUGAUUAGAACUAUUAUGAAGCAUUCGCCAAUACUAACAUGUUCAUUAAGGUAAACCUAACCAUAUCAUGAAGAUAUAUUGGUCCCCCUUCAAUCCUGUAUGCAUCAAUUUCUACACUUAGCCUCGAUGUAAAUAUAACAUGAAUACUUCAAAAUAUUAUAAAUAUUUUGAAGAUGUAUCAUGUUGCAUUUGCGCAUAGUUCUGGAUGGGUGUGUUGAGGAACUCUGCGACCUUGGGGUAAGAAGGAAACACAUCAUGGUUAGUUGUGUCUGGCAUGGUAGACGGGCUUAAACUAGUGGUACGUGCGCUAACCGUGAUGUGGCCUUGGUAGUGCUUUGUCUCCGAAGGAUCAAGGAAGUGUCCUAAUCCCGUGAUGCAUGCUAAGGUAUCUGAGCUUGGACACUGUCAUCUAUCUUGCUCUACACUUCCUGAGGUGGUGGUAGACUAGGGUCGAGGUGACCACUUGGCCACAUAACUGAACACCUACUUGACAACAGAGUUCAAGUGCACCUCCUUGAAGCCCUUGUCAGCCCUCACCUCACUGGUUAUGAUAUCACACAUCUUGUUAAGCAUGAAUGCAGAUAGGAACGGCUACCAUUUCAUGGAGUUACCCUUCAAGGCUCCUUUGAUUCAAGGAAUUCUAUAGGAUUUUUGGAGGAUUGAAAUCCUUUGAAUUUUUUCCUACGUUUGUCCUUUGAUUCAUAGGAUUGAAUCCCAUAUGAAUUUUUCCAAUGAAAUAUUUUGUACUACAUUUCAUAGGAAAUCUAACAUCCACUCUAACCUCCUUUUACAAUUCCUUUGCUUUUUCUGUGAAAUCAAGCGCUCCUUGCUAAUCCUAUAGGAUUCAAGUGGGCAUGACACUCCAAUCCUAUACUUUUUCUGUUCCCGCGUUUUCAAAAUCCUGCGAAUCAAAGAGGUCCUCAAUCCUUUUUGCCUUGGUGACUACCUUUUGUGCACCGGCAUUAGGCACAACCAACACAAAUGGUGGAGCUAUUACAGAUUCCUCAAAGAGAUCUGAAUCUGAAGGCAUUUGCUCCUUGAUGAUAGGCCAGGAGUACUCAACGUAGGACGCCGGGAACUGACUCUCGGGCAGGACAAUGGGUUGACUAAGCUCUUGCGUGGUCAUGUCCUAUAAGCGUUAGCGUCAAUAGGUGUGGAUCACACUACCCAGAGACAGUACGGAUGAGCACUAAGCAUGGAAAAAAUAAACGAGCACUACACAUGGACAACAUGAACGAGCACUACAUGUAGACAAUAUGAGUGAGGACUACAAAUAGACAGUAAGCAUAGUACACAUGGAUCAUCUAGUUCAACACACCACCAUAUGACUGUUCUUCAAUCUCAAAGCAUACCAUGGAGCCAACACACUUCCACACAUCUACAUACUUGCGGACACUACACAUGAACUUGCAUGCUACCAAUCCAUCACCACUAGCUAUCAAUCCUUGAUGACAUGGAAACAACACCUAGCAUCCUAUAAAAUCCAUCACCACUAACUAUCACAACAUCACAUUCUCACAGAUCGACAUUGUAGAAUGCUACAACAUGGUCACAGAUCUAAUCCUAUCACAUGCUCACAGAUCAAGCUAAAACGAGCAGACAUGAAUCGAUGGCGUCGUGUAUCGCCGGCCGGAGAAGAAGCGCCUCUUACCUGCUCAUCGGUGUCUAUCCGUGCAGACUGAUGUGUGGACUAAUGUAUGCAGGCAACCAAACACACCUCCAAGUGUGUGGACUGAUGUAUUUGCUUUGGUCAUUUUUACUCCGCGUAUUAGAGUUGUGUCAAGUUAAAUCUUAUAAAGUUUGAUCAAAUUUAUAUUAAAAAAACAUCAACAUCUACAACACCAAAUAUAUAUACUACUCCCUCCAUUCUGAAAUAUAGUGCCCCCGCGCUUCCCGAUGUCCAACUUUGACCACAAAUUCAACCAACGAGACCGACUGCGGUGGGCGGGAGAAAAAAUCAUAUAGUUAAAAACUUCUUUUGAAUACGAAUUCACUGGUAUAAUUUUUGCUCCCGCCGCAGUCGGUCUCGUUGGUUAAAUUUAUGGUCAAAGUUGAAGCACGGAAAUAGAGGAAGCACUAUAUUUUGGAACGGAGAAUGUAUCAAACCACAUUUCAUAAUGAAUUUAGCAAUAUUGACAAUAUUUGGUAUUGUUAAUAUCGAUACUUUUUUUCUCUACGUUUGAUCAAAAAUAAAAAUACUUUGACUUUACACAAAGAAAAUUAUAUGCAGACACGCGCCUCAAAUAUCUAAAUUUGCUUGAACGUAAAAAAACAAACUGAAUUUGCUCGCUCAUGGUCACGAGAGAGCGGAGAGCCGAGGCUGUGCCGUUCCGCUGCUCUGAUUGGCCCGCGGCCCCCUCCCACGGAUCACGCCCCCCAGGCGAACAUCCACCGUCCACGCCGCCUCCAUCCAACGGCCCGCGCCCCGCAUCACGCGGAUCGCCCCCCGACCCCCGCGGGUAUAUAAUCCCAGCCGCAGGGCCUCCAUUUUCAAACCACCUCAGCAGCACAGCUCAGCUUCCACCCACUCUCAGCCCCUCCCGCCGGAGCCCAAGCAAGGAAGCAAGAUGGACGGCAGCAAGGCGAAGAAGGUGGCGGCGAAGAAGUUCGGCGGGCCGAGGAAGAAGUCGGUGACCAAGUCCAUCAAGGCCGGGCUCCAGUUCCCCGUCGGCCGCAUCGGGCGCUACCUCAAGAAGGGCCGCUACGCCCAGCGCGUCGGCUCCGGCGCCCCCGUCUACCUCGCCGCCGUCCUCGAGUACCUCGCAGCCGAGGUACGCACACCACGCCACCGUUAUACUCCUCGUCGACGCCCUACUCCUGCCUCUCUCCCCGGUCUGAACCAAGCCGCCGAUCUUGUUUUGCAGGUGCUGGAGCUGGCCGGGAACGCCGCCAAGGACAACAAGAAGACCCGCAUCGUGCCGAGGCACCUGCUGCUGGCCAUCCGCAACGACCAGGAGCUCGGGAGGCUGCUGUCCGGCGUCACCAUCGCCCACGGCGGCGUGAUCCCCAACAUCAACCCGGUGCUGCUCCCCAAGAAGGCCGCCGAGAAGGCUGAGAAGGCCGGCACCGCCGCCAAGUCGCCCAAGAAGGCCACCAAGUCCCCCAAGAAGGCCACCAAGGCCUAGAUCCUAGUAGUGUGCGACCGUGCCGGUGGUGCUCCGGCAGCCCUCGUGUGCCUAGUGUCUGUGUUAAUUAAGUUAGCUGUGGUGUGUUCCAGAGAGUGCUCAAGCUUGUACUUUUGCUUUGCCCCGCCAUGUAACCGUGAACGAAGAGGAAGCAUCUUGCUUCCUCUGUUCUUCUGAAUCAAUCUGGUCUCUAAUGCAGUGUUUGUUAAAAUGUCACUGAAUUUCUGUUCUAUUUUAUCUGUUCUAUUUUAUCUGUUUUAUUUUAUCACUGAAAAUUUGUAUCUAGGAACAGUGUUCCUCUCUGCAUUGUUGCAAGUUACAAAUAGAAUCUGAAACGUGACAAAUACAAAUUAGAUGGUUGUGUACAGAUUUUUGUUCUUAUGCCUGACUUGAAGGCGCAAGAGGCUACAAAAUAACAUUUCAAGAUUGUUUGCUGGUGCAUGCUCGAGUCACACCAACAAAUCUGCAGUAGUUAGUACUCCAACUGUCCCAAAAAGUUUGUGUUACAUUUGCUUAGAUAUGGAUGAAUGUAGACACGUUCUAGUGUUAGACACAUCCGAAUCUAGACAACUGUAAGACAAGCUUUUUGGGAUGGAGGGUUUAGUAUUUUGCAAGGCAACAGUAUGUCUAAAUGGCCAUUGUGUUUGUUGAUUUAUAAGUACGGGAGAGACAUGGUUCUUGUUUUGCAACUGAAUGACCAUUAUGUGUGUUGAUUUAUAAUUAAUGGAGUACUAGAUAUGCCAAUCUAUUUUCUGUAGCUGAAAUUUAUGUCAUUCUGGUUGAAAUUUUGCCAUCAAGAACCAUUUCUGUUUUUAUGGUGUGAAGGAAUCAGCAGCCAUGACAUACUUGAUUUUCUGACCAUGAGAAAUUGACAAUGAAUUUCUUAUGCCUGACUUGAAUCGUCAAGAGAAUCAACAACAUCAAGGUAACAACAACACAGGGGCACCAAGGCCACAAAAGAAUAUUUCGCCACUCUUUCUUGUGCUAACUACUACAUUCAAGGUCAUAAAACCAGUGGUACAUAUGCCAACACCAACAAAAUAACAGUACUUAGUUCGUAAGGUGAAGUGUCUCAUUCUCCGGUUUUCAUCAACAUCGCCCCGGUCCGACGACAAGGAGCAGCGCGUCGAGCCGAGCCUCCAGGCAGCAGCCUACCUCCGCAGGCCCUCCACGACGUAAGUAGCAUACAGAUCCCUAUGAACAGAACACCAAAGAAGACCGGCGUCAGCUCAGUACCAAGAUCAUUGAGGACACAGCCAUGCUGAGGAUUCAAGAAAUAAACACUCACAUGGAAUGCUGAAUGGCCUCAUAAGCAGCAGUCGCAGGCAGAAAGUCGUUCACAGCAACCUCCUUGUUCUCAUUCUUCUUGUCUGGAUGUCCAGGUUAAAGAAAUCAUUUGAUCGAAGAAUUGGCAUAUAUAAUCAAACUUGCAUUGCCUUGACCAUUUAUGCAUGAUAUAAGAUCCAUGCUUUAGCUAUCAACAAACUACAAGCACAAAUGUACAUAGCUGUGUACGAGUAGUGCAUCAAAGAGGCGAGGACCAGUAUUUUUUCCUAGAAAUAUUCUGCAUGUUCAAGCCUAGGGGACUUUUGACAAGUAAAACCAAGAUAAGCAGACUUUUUUUGGGUGGAAUACUUGCUAGUCAUAUCUGAAUAUAAGUGGAUCGACAAGGAUACAGUCCUCAAAGAAGCGUCUGAUUUCAGCCAACCGAUGAGGUGGGAGCUCCUUGAUAUCAUUGAAAUGCUUGUAUUCAGGGUCAUCAGCACACACUGCAAUGAUCUUAUCAUCUGCUUCUCCCUGUUCAAAUAAAUAGUGAUCAGCAUCUCUGUCUUCUUUGGACUGCAUGGUUAAGAGAUGAAAUUAUGAAAACAAACCUGGUCAAUCAUAGGCAUGAGGCCAAUGGCCUUUGCGCGAAGGAAACAGCCCGGCACAACAGGCUCCUGUAUCAACAAAAAUGAACAUUUUAAACACUGACCCAAACAAGUGUAGAAGUGACAAAUACAAAGAUUUGCAAAUGCAGAUUGCUAAUGUUCUACAACCAACUAACAGAUUAUAAAGUGGGAAGCACAACGACCUUCUGUCCAGUGUUCACGAAAGGGAAGUAGUAAGAUAUACCUGCAUAAUAACUAGCACAUCCAUCGGAUCACUGUCAUCACACAGUGUGCGGGGAAUGAAUCCAUGGUUGUGAGGGUACACCACUGAUGAAUAAAGCACACGGUCCACCUGCACACAUGCAUAUAGCCAACGAAAACCAUAAGAACGAUUGGGCAAGAGAGAUUCAAAAUAGGAGGGAAAAUGAAUAGCAAUGCUUUACCAUUAUCAGUCCAGUUUUCUUGUCAAGUUCAUAUUUAACCUUGCUGCCCCUAGGUAUCUCAGUGACCUGGCAUAAAAUAGCAUCCAUUUUUUAGUUUGUGGUUCAGAACUCAUGAGCAUUUAGGACAAUAACUAAUUAAACAAAAUUGAAAAGCUUGAAAUGACAUAGGUGGCUUAAAAGAUGAUAUACUAUUUUAUGAGGUGGAACCCUUGCUUUUCAAGUUAAGGGAAGGAAAAGGGCUAUGCUAUUGAUAUGGACUUGUAGCAUAAAUAUACAACAAUUUCUGUUAGAUAAUUAUAAAACGAAAUUAGAAGGAAAGGAAAAUCAACAGGAAUAUAUUAGGGCGGCCUUACACAGUUGAAGAUAGUUGGUGCAUCAGGGCCUGCACAAAGAAGUCCAAAACAUAAGUUUUCAGAAGACGGAAACAAUGAAACCGAUGUUUUGUGAAGAUCAAAUGUCAAUACCUAUCUCAAGAUCAUGCCAUGAAUGCGCUGAACCAGGUCUCCGGGUCAUGGAUGACAGUAUUCUUUCAUUAAGAACAGGAGGCUUAAUGGGUGUGCUUGCCACCUUGACCUUCUCCGCUGCUUCAAUAGCAGGAGCCAUCACAAAAACCUGAAAGCAAGUGUAUGUUUGCUUAUUUUAGAAAACUAAAUACUUAAAUUCCAAUUAAAGCUGUCCAACAGAAGUUAAGUCAAUAUCAUCAUAGAAGAUACAGCAAUGUUAACUGAAAAAACAAUCGCCAAGCUUUGAUUUUUUAGAAAACCAUUAAAUAAGUAGGACUAGUGACUGUUACAGAAACCACUAAUUAUAAGCAAGGCUAGUGACUCUUCCUUUUUUUGGGGGGAGAAACCGUUAAUAAAUAAGACUGGCCUGCCUAAUCUGUGUACACAAAACAGUGCCCUAAGAAUGAACCAUUUCGUAUGAAACACGCCUAUCACCUACAGGAAUCAUGGCGAGUUGACGACGCAAAUACAUUUCAGCUCCCCCCUUCCCCGGUCAGAUUCAUUCGGCCAUUUCGCCAGAGCACUGGCCAAAACGGCCGCCGGAAUCGACCCACUGGCCCAACUUUGGAGGCGAAAUGAGCAGGCUGCAGGCGCCGGCCGCUCCUCUCGACCCAAACAUCCAGCGGCGGCAAGCGGGAGCCACAGCGCGGGCACCGCGUGGCCGGAGAGGGCACGUCGGGGAUGUAAAGCAGACGGAUGAGAAGGAGAGAGACGCACCUGCUGCAGACGGCGGGGGAGCAAACCCUAGCUAGCUUCCGGUGGAGGGAGAGCAGGGGAAGCAGGGAGGCGUUCGUAUGGUAUCGUAUCGUACUUCCCGCCGCUUCUCUGCACCAAACCAUCUAUGUUUUUUCUUCUCCGGUUUAAGAGCAUCUCUAGCAGAUCCUAAACAAUCAGACCAAAAAAAUUACGGUUUUGAUUGAUAAAGAGACACCAAUCGAAAAAUUUACGGUUUUGAUUGAAGAAGAACACCAAUCGAAUAGAUCCUGUAAAACGAGAUAACCCGCAGGUCCCCGGAUAUUAUCACCUACAUACCCCGUAUUGCAGUUUUGGAGUCGGUUUUCUGAGGAAUGAGUCAGCGCCUCGUGCCGGCGACUCCCGAGCUCGAUUUCAUGAAGAGGAGACUCGAUUCCUGGCGAGGAGGUUCGAUACUGACUGAUUUCUUGGUUAAGCACGUCAACUCAAACAUUUUUAGGGCAAUUUAUGUUAGCACAAAGAUGACAAAUUUAGCUAGCAAGCAUGCUAAUUUCCUGGCAAAAAAAAGUAAGGUGGAUUUGCCAUGAUUAUCAAAUAAACUUGUCAUUCUCGGCAAACAUAAAUUGACAAUAAAAAUAUUCGAUUCGCCAUGGUAAAAAAUCUAACGUAAGAUUUGUAGUUGAGUCCGUUUUAAUAGGCCUAAACUAUGGAUGCUAGUUUCUUUUUUAAGACUAAGCAUGACACGGGUCGGAGAAGACUUGCUCCAUGCACAACAAGAGUGCAAAGACUAUAUCUUGCUCAUAGCGAGUAUAGUGUCUGUCUCGCCUGAAGGAUUUCCUUGUGUAAUUAAUGGCCCAACCCAUUUUUUUCGUUCGCUGGGUUUCGACUGAGACACUUGUGGUUUUGUUCCAUCGUUGCACUCUUUUGGCUCAUUUUCGUUCUUUUUAGUUUUCUUUGUUUCUUCACUCGUUUUCUCGAGUUUCCUAUUUUCUUUGUUUUUGCACCGGGUUUUCAUUUAUUUCUCGGGUUUCACUAGGUUUCAUUUUCUUAACUUUUUACACGCACAAUUAUUAUUUUUCAAUUUUUUUUUGCAAAGCGAUUUCUAUAAUAGAUAAAUCCAGAAUACUUUUUGAAAUAUAAUAAAAACAGUAAUAAUUACAAAAUAUGAAAAAGGAUGAAAAAAGGAACGUAGAAGACCCGCUGUCUGCAUUGGGCCAGCCCAUGCAAGAGGCGAGGCGUGGUACUGUCAAGAGCAAACCUCCUAAGAGCAUCUGCUGCCGGACUUACUAUUUUGACUGGGCAGACGGAAUGAUAGUAGUUUUCAAUUGUCUCUUAUUUAUUUAUUUUUUGUUCUAUUUGGUUUUCUUUGUUUCUUCACUCAAUUUUUCUUGUUUUCUUUUCUCUUCUUUUUCAUCAUUUUUUGUUUAUUUCUCGGUUUUUUGUUUGUUUUGUUUUUCAUUGGUAUUCUUCAUUUCUUUCUUGUUUUUCAUCGAGAGCAAACCUCCUAUAAGCAUCUACACCCGGACUCCCUAUUUUGACUGGCGGGCUGGCCUGAUUAAUGAUUAUUGUCCGAUUAGCUUUUAAAUGUCUUUUUCUGUUCUCUUUGGUUUAUGUUGUUUCUUCACCCAUUUAUCUGGUUUUCUGUUUUGUUUUGUUUUUUCACCGGGUUUCUUCUUUAUUUCACGAUUUUCUUUGGUUUCUUAUUUGUUUUGUUUUUUCAUCAGUUUUUAUGUUAAUUUCUUGGUUUUCACCACUACUUUUUUAUUUCAGUUUUACUACUUGUUUCUUUUGUACGCUUUUUCAAUACAUGUCUAUGUUUUUCAGUGCGCAAUACACAUUCCUAGUGUACAAAUGAAACAAAAAUUUGAUACAUGUUUUUUUUCAAAUAGACGAUGUACGCUUUUCUUUUAAUAUGGUUUUGAACAUUUUUCUGAAUACAUGAUCAACCUUUCUAAAAAUACAAAAUGAACAUUUAUAAAUCAAUAAACAUUUCUUUUAACUAUGCAUUGUUUUAAACAUUCUAUAGACAUGCAAGAAAAAUCAUGGGAAUCUUUUUAAAACAUGUGAAUAAUUCUUUAUAAUGCCACGUCACUUUUUAAACCUGCGCAAACAUUUAUUUUACAUUGUCUAGACAUUUUUUGUGUACAGUUUUUAAUACUACAUGAUUAACAUUUUUUCAAACAUAUAUUUUGAUGUCAUGUUUCAUACACAUUCUACAGUUCACGUAUACACCAGGAAUAUUUUUUAUAUACAUGUUUAACCUUCCAAAUACAUGAUUAACGUUUUUGAAAAAUCAUUUUUAUGCCUUAUUUUCAUGCACAUUAAACAUUCUUUCCAUACAUCAGAACAUUUUUUGUAUAUUUGUUUAACAUUUUUUUACGUACAUGUUUAAUAUUUUUUAAAGAUAUACUCCCUACGAUAGUGUCAAAAACGCUCUUAUAUUAUUGAACGGAGGGAGUAGUUUUAUGUUUGCUUUUUUCAUACAUUUUUUGUGUACUUGCGAGGGCCCAAGCCGGGCAGGGGGUGGCCGUGCUCGCAACCCCAUGAAAUUAAAGCACCUCCAUGGCCAAGCUCCCACAUGGAAGCACCUACAUGGGAGGAGGCGAGUCAAGGCGGAGGAGGCCAGCGUUAGGAGGGCCAGGCGAGGGCCCAAGUGGGACGGGAGUGGUCGUGCUCGCAGCCCUAUUAAAGCACCUCCGUGGCAAAGCUCCCACAUGGGAGCACCUACACGGGAGGAGGCAAGUCGAGGCGAGGGAGCCCAGUGUUAGGAGGGCCGUGCGAGGGCCCGAGACGAGCGGGGGCGGCGAUGGGAGCCAUAGCGCUUCGUCCAGUGGCGCUCGGCUUGUUGGGAAAGAUGAAGAAAAAAAAGAUUUACGGUAUAGUUUUACGGGAUCUGUUUCGCACGAACCUUCACGAUACCAUAAAAUCGUUUUUGGGGUAAUGGGAAUGCAUUUUCCAGUUUCAAUUUUUCCGGCAUCUGCUAGAGAUGCCCAAAGGCUAAGCAUGUCAACUCAAAAAAAAUUAGGGCAAUUUAUCUUGACACGAGGAUGACAAAUUUAGUUAGGAAGCAUGCUAAUUUCAUGGCAAAAAACAAUGUGAGGUUGGUUUGACAUGAUUAUCAAAUCAACUUGUCAUCUCGGCGAACAUAAAAUGCCAAUAAAAACAUUCGAUUUGCCAUGGUAAAAAAACUGACGUAAGAUUGGUAGUUGAGUCCUUUUUAAUAGUUCUAAACUGUCGAUGCUAGGUUUUUUUCAAGACUAAGCACGGCACGGUUCAGAGAAGACUGCUCCAUACCCAACAAGAGCGCAAAGAUAUAUCUUGCUUAUAGCGAUUAUAGUGUCCAUAUCGCCUGUUGGAUUUUCUCGUGUGAUCAAUGGUCCAACGCAUUUUUUUUUUCGUUCGCUAAGUUUUGACCAAGACACUGGUGGUUUCGUUUGGUCGUUGGCUCAUUUUUGUAGUCUUUUUCCCUGGUUUUGUCUUCCUUGUUCUUUUUGGUUUUCUUUGUUUCUUCACUCGUUUUCUCGGGUUUUCUGUUUUCUUUGUUUUUGCACCGGGUUUUCAUUUAUUUCUCAGGUUUCAUUUGUUUUACUUUUCACAUACACAAUUAAUAUUUUUCAAAUUUGUUCGCAAAGUGAUUUCUAUAAUAGAUAUAUUUAGAAUACUUUGAAAUAUAAGAAAAAAAUAAAAACAUUAAUUACAAAAAUAUAUGAAAAAGGGAAUGUAGAAGACCUGCUGGCCGCACUAGGCCGGCCCAUUCUAGCGCAUGCCUGAGGCGAGGCGUGGUACUGUCAAGAGCAAACCUCCUAAGAGCAUCUACAACCAGACUUCCUAUUUUGACAUAGCGGAUGACACGGCAGUGAUUUUCAAAUGUCUUUUAUUUAUUUAUUUAUUUAUUGUUCUCUAUGGUUUUCUUUGUUUCUUCACUCAAUUUAUCUGUUUUCUUGUUUUUUCAUUGUUUUUCGUUUGUUUCUCGGUUUUUAUUGUUAUUUUCAUUGUAUUCUUUUCUUUCUUGGUUUUCACUAGUAUUUUUUACCUUUGGUUUCUUUCUUCUUUCUUUUGUAGGUUUUUCUUUGAUACAUGUCUACUUUUUUACCAGUACACAAUAUACAUUUUUGGUGUACAGAUGAAUCAUUAUUUUGGUACAAGUUGAAUUUUUCCCAUAUAUUUGUUUGUAUACACGGGGAAUAAUUUUCAUAUAUAUGUUUUGAUGUUUAGUUUUCAUACACAUUAUACAAUUUUCAAUAAACUUUAAUAUUUUUCAAAUACUCAAUUAAUAUUUUCAAGUCUGUAUGUGAAGUGUUAUUUAUUAUAUAUAUAUAUAUAUAUAUUAAUAUUUCAAAAUAUUAGUAAAAGUAAAAAAUAAAGCAAAAAUGUGAAAAAGGAUGAAAAAUAAUAGCGCUGAAGACAUGCUAUCCGCGCUGGGCCGACCCAUUUUGGUGGCUGCCUGAGGCGAGACAUGCUGCUAUCAAGAGCAAACCUCCUAUGAGCAUCUACAACCGGACUCCUUAUUUUGACCGGCGGGACGGCCUGAUUAUUGUCCUAUUAGUUUUUAGAUGUCUUUUUUUGUUCUCUUUGGUUUACGUUGUUUCUUCACCCAUUUCUCUGGUUUUCUGUUUUCUUUGUCUUUUCACCGGGUUUCUUCUUUAUUUCACGAUUUUCUUUGGUUUCUUAUUUGCUUUGUUUUAUCAUCAGUUUUUAUGUUAAUUUCUUGGUUUUCACGAGUGCUUUUUUUGCUUCAGUUUUCUUACUUGUUUCUUUUGUAGCCUUUUAAUUAACACGUGUCUAAGUUUUUUAGUACACAAAUAUACAUUCCCAGUGUACAAAUGAAACAUAAUUUUGAUACAUUUUUUUCAAAUAUACAAUGUACAAUUUUCUUUUCAUAUGGUUUUGAACACUUUUUUUAAUACAUGGUCAACCUUUCAAAAAAACAAAAUGAACAUUUAUAAAUCAUUAAACAUUUCUUUUAACUAUGCAUUUUUUAAAACAUUCAAUAGACAUGCAAGAAAAAUCAUGGGCAUUUUUUUUAGAACAAGUGAGUAUUUCUUUAUAAUGCCAUGUCAUUUUUAAACCUAUGCAAACAUUUUUUUACAUUGCAUAACAUUUUUUGUGUAAAAUUGUUUUAAUACAUGAUUAAUAUUUUUUCAAACAUAUAUUUUGAUGUCAUGUUUCAUACACAUUCUACAAUUUACGUAUACACCAGGAAUAUUUUCUAUAUACAUGUUUAGCCUUCCAAAUACAUGAUUAAUAUUUUUGAAAAAACAUAUUUUUUAUGUAUUUUAUUCCACACACAUUAUACAUUCUUUCCAUACAUCAGGAACAUUUUUUGUAUAUUUCUUUAACAUUUUCACGCACAUGUUUAAUAUUUGUUAAACAAAUAGUUUUUAUGUCUGCUUUUUUCCGUACAUUUUUUGUGUACACGCGGAACAUUUUUACACAAGUAACCUUUUCCAAAUACAUGAUUAACACAUUUUCAUAUAUAUAUUUUGAUGUCUACUUUUUAAUACACAUUGUACAAUUUUGUAUACAUUACAAACAUAUUUCUAUAAAUGUUUUAAUUUUUUUUGAAUGCGUGAUUAAUAUUUUUCAAAUUUGUAUGCAAAUUUAUUUUUAUAAUAUAUAUUUAGAAUAUUUUGAAAUAUAGAGGAUGUAAAAAAGCAGAAAACAAAAAAAAAUGUGUAAAAGGAUGAAAAAUAGCGUUGAAGACCACCUGUCUGUGCUGGGGCGGACAAUUCUGGCAUAUGGGUAGGCGGGAUGUGCUACUGUUAAGAGCAAACCUCCUAACCGCAUCUACAACCGAACUUCCCAUUUUGACUGGGCAGACAACCCGGUCAGUGUGCGAUUAGUUUUUUCCGACCCAGCUGGCCUCCUCAAACGCCCCCUAUACAUCUGGGCUGCCCGGUGCUCCUCGUAUCUAGCUCAUAUAUGAGGCGGAUAUGGGGUGGACCGGAUAAGACCGCAAUCAUCCUAGCCCAUGCUGGCCCGCACCAACCACAACCAAUCCAUACUAAAAACUUCCACCCGUACCAAACCCUACCUCACUCUCUCACUCUCCGUGUGCUCCCCGUCGAUUCCCCUCCCCUCUCGUCCCCCUCCUCUCCCAAUGUCAUGCACCGGCAGCGGCGACAUUGGGUCUGACAGCGAUGGCGACCCCACCGACUGGGAGGCCCUCGUCCACGAGGCAAAGGUGGACGACGAUGAGGAGUUAGCCCUCUGCAUCGUGCUGCAUCGGCAACAGGUGGACCGGGGUGGUAGUGAUGAUUCGAUAUUUUGUCACUCUUAUAAGAGGGUUUUGAUGUGCUUUUUGAAAGUUUUCGAUAAUUCUCGUGUGUUUCUAACGCUAAUCCUUUGAGAAAGAAGAAAACUUGCCUUUUUCAUUGAUGUGUAGGAAUAUACAUUUUUGAAAGGAAACCAAUCAAUAUCCCAUCAAAUGAAGUCAUAUGGAGCAAUUUUCCUUUUGGGCGAAAGUUCAUUAGAGGCAUCAAAGCGCAAGAUGACGCAUGGCACGAGCGCACCUGCUCGUACCAUGAUGUCGCCACCACCUUGCCUGUACAAGCAACUUCUAUGAAGGGAACAACACCGAAUACAAAGAGGAGCCACCGCCACCACAUCCAUAAAUAGAAAGAGAGAAGAGAUCAGGAGAAGAAGAACUCCCAAAGAUCCGUCCAGUCUCUUUCUCCCCAUCCCAUUUUCAUGCAUUGCGAUCAUCACCACAGGAAGAGGAUUCCCAAAAUUAGGGUUUGUAACUCUUUUUCAUAUCCAUCUUGAGAUCGUGACUCGUUUAAUCACCUAUCUUAUUGCGAAUUUUUGUGUUACUAUUUAGAUGAUUUCCCUUUGUUCUAUACGGUUUUUGGCUAUCCUCCUCUCAUGCGUGAGUAAUCCACCUAGACGUGGGAGAUGUAGAGGAUUGGUGAGAUUCAUUUGUGCCUAUUCUAUAUAUCGUCAUUUGUUGUAAUAGUUCUAUGAUUGUUCAGUAAGUUGUUUAUCUGUUAUGAACACAAUGCGUGUUGUCCAAUGUAAGGGCUCUCAGGCAAAAUGAUUCGAAGCCUACACAUGCGAGACAUAUUGAUUAGCGAGUCCGUGACCUCCAGGUGGCGUGUGUUGGUAUCUACAAGGACCGAAGACAAUAAAUGAGAUAACAGGAAUCCACGAAAUCUAAUGCGUUGUUCCAGUCUUACGACCUUAGUUGCAGAAACGAUUAUGUUAUGGCAACGUCAAAGUAGGAUUGUAGGGGAGAACAAUUUGGACAUCAAACACGGUGCCGUAUCGGCCUUGUCACCGCUGUAGUCACCCAUAGUGUACUCCUCCACCCCUCGCUCUUGCGCCGAGAUGAGUCAAUGUUUCAAGGCAGCACACUCCGGCUCAUUGUGUCGCAAUGCCGCGAUGGUUCAACACUAUGAUUAGGGUACCAGUAGGAAGGAGACCGAGAGUACUCGUUAGUGACCUGGACAUGGAUGCGCAAUGCGACAGCGUCAAGAGCAGCGACGAACCAUGUUUUGUAACGAUGAGGGGCAAUACAACAAGGGUUCAAUCUAGAGCAUACUGGGAGAGGGCAUAAUCCAAAGAAAUUUGAAGGUGGGCCCAAAUAUGAGAAUAGAGGGGAAAACCAAUCGGUGUUAUAUUCUAUAUACUUCACCCAUUCGAUUAAAUAUUGACCAUAAAUUAGACUAAACAAACAUGGGUAUAUGUGAUAAAAAUUACAUCAUCGAAUCCGUACUCAAAAGAAGUUUUAGUGGUACAAUUCAUGGAGUAAAAGAAAACAUUGUUCUAAUUUAUGGUCAAAGUUAAAUUUUUAGAUGUGCGCACGCGUUAUUCACUAAAAUGGAGGGGAUAUAAUUGUCACUCAAACAUGUGCUAGUUUACCAGAGUCAAAGAAAUGAUCAAAAUGGCAAAGGAAAAGAUGUUCCAUCAAGCUCCUAAAAUACGUAACGUAAUCGCCAGGGGAGAGAGUGGGCAUUCUCCGGCCUUAAACAGCGAACACCCUUUUUCCUCCACCCAGACGGCCACACCUGCUGGUGACGGGGGAGCCAAACCCAAGAAGCGGCGGGCGGAAAGGGGAGGGGAGAGGAGAGGCGGCAGCAGCCAGCCGGCGGAGAUGGCGGCGGCGCCGCCCAAGGCCUGGAAGGCGGAGUACGCCAAGUCCGGGCGGUCCUCGUGCAAGUCCUGCAAGUCCCCCAUUGCCAAGGACGCGCUCCGCCUCGGCAAGAUGGUCCAGGCCACCCAGUUCGACGGCUUCAUGCCCGUGCGUAACGCCAUCUCCCUCCUCCCCCCUCCCCUUCCUCCACCCCGCCCCUCCCCGCCAUGAACCCCUCAUCGCCCCGCGGGCGGAUCUAUCUUUGACCGACCCCUCACGGCUCCGCGGGGGUAGGGUUUUGGGGCGGUUUAGCGUUCUUGUUUUUCUUUUCCGGUGGGUCGGGGGCUCCCGAUUGGAUUCGGAUUAGAUGAAUCCAAUCCGAUGGCGGCUUCGCGUGCGGCAUGCACUGAGUCGAUCUGACGGGUUCGGUUUUGGUCUGAUUUCUGAACCUGACUCGUUCUUGGUAGUGGUUUGGUGAGUCUGGUCUGACUGACUGACCAACCCCUUCGCAAUGCGGAGCCUGUGAUGAUUGAAACACCCCCUUCGCAAUGCAGGGCUCGAAAUGCAAUUCCGUAUGCUUCGAUUUCAGCACUGGGUGUCCACCGCUGCGUUAUCUGUCGAUUUGUAAUAUCCUUUUUUGCUCAUACCAUUGCUGGAAAGAACUCCUGAAACAACUAUUUGUCUGACAUGUAAAAUGCAGGCUUUGAAUCUUACAUCUCUGGUUAACUUGAUGUGUUUUUGUUUAUGUUAUAUGCCUUUCUGCAUCACCAGCGGUAGGCUGCUCUAGUUUCAUGUGUCGUGAGGUAACCAUUAACUGUUUAAUUGUUAAUUUAAAGCGAAGAAGUCUAUCUGAACUGCAUAAUAAUUUGGUACAACAUCAACAUGGUGCCGUUUCCCAUGUUUCUAAAGUAGUAAAAUCCAGUGCCAGGUUAGAUAAUAGUUUGGCCAUCAUAUUUUUGUGAGAUAUGUCUGGAUAUGAUUCUGUGCUUGUUUGGACUUUGAACCAUUUUAUGAUACAAGUGCGAUAAACAUAGCUUAUAAGCCAUUUCACUUGUAUACGAUUCCUAUUAGCAUUUGUUAACUGUCAGGCAACCGCAGUUCUCAUCUAUUUGUUACUGGUUUUCAUAGUACUGGUGGGUUCUUAACUGUUGUGAUUCUAUAACUGUUUGCUUUGGUUUGGGCCAUGUGGACACUCUAAUUUUUUCACUGGGAGAACACUAUAUUACAUAGGGAAAUUAAGGCGACUCUUGGUUAUUUCCUGGUUCUGAAAGUCACAUUAUCUGAUCAUUUUUCUAACACGGAUAGCUUGCUUAGCAUUAUGUUUUCCAUAUUAUUCAGAGGGUUAUGGAUGGGUACAGUAUCUAUGUCUCAGUGAUGUUCUGAUAGACUCUGUUUUUCUGGAAUUUUAUGUCUAGCAUUUCGUUGGGUGAUUGGUCGGUUUUUCAAGAGGCAGAGGAAAAUAUGAUGCCUUGUGCCAACUUAUAUCACCAAUGCAGUUUUGCUAAUUUACACAUCUAUUUAUAAUUUAUAUUUCCAUGUUUUCUCUUUUCCAGAUGUGGAACCAUGCCAAAUGCAUCCUCAACAAGAAAAACCAGAUAAAAUCGUAUGUAGCUAUGUCUCUGACUCAUCAACUGGAUUUUAGGCUUCAGUAUUCUGCCUGUUAGUUUAUUCGACUCUUGUAUCUGAGUAUAAACCAUGGAAAAUUUAACUCUACUCUUAACUUCUGACCAGUGUUGAUGAUGUUGAAGGAAUUGAUGCACUUAGGUGGGAUGACCAAGAGAAGAUAAGAAACUAUGCUGCAAAUUCCUCGACUACUUCAACUGCAACUGCAACUGCAAGUUCCACAGCUGCUAUUCCUGACAAAUGUGCUAUUGAGGUUGCUCAAUCUGCCCGUUCUUCCUGUAGACGGUGCAGUGUAAAGAUUGCAAAAGGCACUGUACGUAUUUGUUGACCAAUUGUUUUGCACAUUUCUUUUUGUUGUGAAUAUAACUUUAUUAGUCUUGCGUGAACCCAGGAAUUUAUACUUACUAGUGCUUGUGUAUAAAAUGUUUAUGGUCCUAAACAGAAUCCUCCUCAUGGUCAAUAAUCUUAAUGUGUUGUUCUUAUUUCUCACUUACUAGUGACUGUAUAUAGAGACAUGAGUUUCACAAUCUUGAAUAAAUCUUAAUGCAACUGCAUACAACCGUCACAUAAUUAUAGUACUGCCAUAUUUCUAGUUCUAAUUCUAAUCACCUGACACCUAUUGGGGGAUAUGUCGUAGUCUCCCAAACCUAAACUUGUUCUUGAUUUUUUGAAUCAGAGAUUAGAACUGUUCUAUAUAUGGCUUUGAAACACAUGAACAUGACACAUUGUUUCUCUGUCGAAAAAAGAACAUGGCACAUUGUUUUCUGCACCCUAUCUAUGACCAAGUCAAACUGCAGAUCAGGUUGCAGAUAAUGCCCAGGCUUUUAUUAUUCUGCUGUGUUGGAAUCUGGAAUGACUGUAAUAUCCUGUAAAGGCAGCAACAUGGUAUCUUGUUAUGUAAAAAUUCUCUGCUACUAGCAUGCUAGGUCACCUGCAAAAUAAGUUCUGAAAAGUAGGAAUUGGUAAAGCAAAUGAUUGUGUUGAUUUAUAUUCUUUUUCAUACAUGGAAUUCCUGAUUUUGUGCUAGAUUGGUUGAUGAACGAUAUGCAUUUCUUUGAUUUCUGGAGUCCAGAUCAAAAGAUUCUAUGGUUUAGAAGUUCAUGUUUGAUUUGUAAUCUUUCAUUUAGCUCACCAAGUAUAAAGAGAUACUAACAUUUAAUACCAGUGGUAGGGUAAGUUAUGCUGUGAAAUUAUGUUAUUUGUCUUGACUCUUAAAUUGUGUCUGUAACAGUUUGCUAUGUUGAUUAGGUUCGUGUUUCAUCUAAACUUGACGGUCAAGGUUGGUAUCAUGUUAGUUGUUUCUUGGAAAUGUCCCCAACUGCAAGUGUUGAGAAAUUCCCAGGUUGGGAGACCUUGUCGCACGAUGAUAGAGCAGCUAUUAUUGAUGUUGUUAAGAAAGGUGCUGCCAGCAAACGUAAGCAUGGAGAUCAUAGUUUCUUGUUCCUUUUUUUUAACAUAACUUGAUAAUCUGACUUGUUGUAUUUGUAAUGGUCAUCAAGAAGAAACAACUUCGAAGGGCUCCAAGCGCAAGAUUGGUGACAUUGAUGUGCGUAACUCCAAAGCUCCGAACUUAGAUGGAAGUACAUCUGAAGGUGCUGUACGAAGCAAAGGAAAACUUGUUGUACCAUGUGAGCCAAAUUCUAGUUCUGCUGAUCUGCACCAAAAGCUUAAAGAGCAGAGUGACACACUUUGGAAGUUAAAGGAUGAACUCAAAAAGCAUGUUUCAACUGCUGAGCUGAGGGAUAUGCUUGAAGUUAAUGAGCAAGAUCCAUCUGGACCAGAGCGGGAUCUAUUGGAACGAUGGUAAUAUUUUUUUGCUAUUUUUCUUUUCUUGAUGGAUUUUCAUCUAAUCGCAAAUUAUUUUACUUGUUGUCAUGUGCUAAACUCGGUAAGGUCCAGAGACUGGGAUAGGGCACUUGCCUCUGGCCAUAACUUGGGCAAGGGGUUAGGUUCAUGCCUAUGCCAUACAGGCGGUUCUUUGUGUUGUUAGAAUAAGUUAGAAUUAUAACUAUAUGACACUUAGUGCUUGUAGAGGAAGUGGAAACUUGUACAAGCGGAUCUUUUUGCUAGUGAUGAUUUUUGUGCUUGUUUUCUGGAUCCCAAAUCCUGGUGCUGACCUGUUGGUACCAGGAAUCUGAUGGGGCUUGUUUUCAAGAUAUUAGGUACUAUUUUGAAGGAACUUAUGGUCAAAUACUAUUUAGAGGUAAAGGGGAAUAACAUUUCUUCUUAAGAAUAGGGAAGAAAAACACUUAAACCAAAUUUGGUAGGAAGCAAGAUGGCGUUCUAUUAUUAUUCUACUGGUUGGGUCAUAGGGUAUUUACCAAAGCAGAAGAGUCGAACCUCACUUGCUUUAGUUGUUUUUUAUGUGCUAAUAAGCUCUGUCUGCUCCUGGCUGGCUACCUUAAUAUUUUGGAUCAUGGCUAUCUUAAUGCUUGACAAACCAUCUCUUUAGAUUCCCUGCCUGGAGUACUAAUGAUUUUAGUUUCCACUCAAAUUUGUACUCCGUUCCUAUUUACAUGCGUCUACGUAUUUUGUGAUUUAACUUUGACCAGUAAAAUAAGAGUCAUUUGUCAUAAAACUUAUACAGUUGGAAACUUUUUCGAAUACAAAUUGAAUGCUGUAAUUUUUGUGGCACACAACCCACGUUACAUUGGUCAAAUUGAUGGUCAAACUUGAGGGGGAAUUGGAUACAUUUAACUAUAGCAACUAUUUUUGAGUGAAAUGCAACAUACACCCAACAUGAUUAUAUAGCCAAACCAGCACAAUCAUGUGGCUAACUGUUGAUUGUGUGUUAUAGAUGGGGACAUCCAUUACUUGUCUAAUGCUAAGUAUUACAACUAUUGAACCAAUAUUAUACGUUCUAUAAAGCAAUUCUAAUUGAUCAACAAAACUAAGUUCAAUAAUUAUGGGGUUUAAUUGACCUCAAAAGCCACAUUAAGUUUUAAGUCAGACUUCUCCAUAUUUGACCAAGUUUAUAGAAAAAUGUGCGUAUACCUACAACAUCAAAUAUAUGUAGUAUGAAAAUAUAUUUUAUGACGAAUUUAUUAAAGCUAAUUUGAUGUUGUAGAUGUUGAUAUAUUUCUCUGUAGACCUGAUCAAACUUAAAGAAGUUAGACUUGGGACAAAGCUAGAACUUCAAUUAAUUUGGAAUGGAGGAAGUAGCUUUUAGUGGAGCUGAAGAGCUCUGAAACAAGGCCUGGUAUCCUGCUGAAAUAUUGUUGAAUUUUGACUACACCGACCUGCCAGCCUGUGGCAUUGCUCUUUCUGUCGUACUUCACAAUAUUCAGAUGCUUCACUCUUUAUAAUGUCUCAUGGUUCUAUUUUUUGUAACAUUUUUGUUCUCUUGCAGUGCUGAUGGGAUGCUGUUUGGAGCGCUGGGCACUUGCCCAGUCUGUAAUAGCUGCCUAUACUAUUAUGGUGGUCACUAUCAGUGCAAUGGCCAUGUUUCAGAGUGGUCCAAAUGUACCUACAUGACAACAGAACCUGUACGCAUGAAGAAAAAAUGGAAAAUUCCCGAUGAAAUAAAGAAUGAUUAUCUUACAAAGGUAGGGCAUCUUGGAGCUUCUCAAGCUCAAGUAUUUACUUUUCGUGUUAGAGAGCAGCGUCUUGUAGCUAAUGUGGGAUUCAUCCAAGGACCAAAAGAACCAUAUAUUUAGGUAAAUAAUUAAGUGCUUCCCAGAGCUAGAUAUUAUUUUUGGAGGGGAGAUUAUGCAUUAUUGGGAACAUUGUGCUCCAUGGUUAGAACUUCUAAGGGCACCCAAUGGUUGGACCCUCCCGCCCAACCAUGUCCCAGGCUCAUUUAGUUCCCAAGCCCGCCUUCUGUUUUCUCAGAAAAAAACAAACUAGAAACUCUUGUGAUCGAGUUAACAGUAGGCACCACUCACUAACAGAAAAUAACUAAUAAACAUGUUUGUCUUGCAGUGGUUCAAGUCUCAAAAGGUUAAGAAACCAGAGCGAGUUCUUCCCCCAAUGUCACCUCAGAAGUCUGUAGGUCAAUCACCUCAGCAGUCUCUCGUCGGUGAAGCAUUGGAUAAAUUGAGAGUUUGUAUAGUAGGACAAUCUAAAGAUACUGUAAGUAAUCUUCAUUAAUUUUUUUGUACGCUAUAUUUUUAGGUUAUUUUUCUGUUUUGCUUGCCGUUUGGUUACAUCCUACGUAAAAUGUCUAUUAGUUUAAAGUAGGUGCAAAAUUAAUUGCGUGAAUCUCUAGUCUUUGUUGAGUUGCAUCUAUGCAAGUAUGCAUCCUUGCUGAAGUAGUAUGCAUCAUGAUUGCUUCAGUAAAUUUGUGUCAAGGGAUACUUAGGCUCAUUUUGUUGUCACUGAAUAUGCUAUGUAUGCUGUGCCUAAUUUAUAAUCUUUUGUGGAAAAGUAGCCUCCAAAAUAGGCAGAGGCUGGUUAGCCAAAAGAUUAAAUGGGCAUAAGUAACAGAGCCUUACUAUAUUGUACCAGAGAAUCAGUUUAUUCAUACACUGCAUGGUUUGUCUAUGAAAAAACUGAAAACGUGGAAAGUACUACCUCUGAUCCAAAAUGUAAGUCCUUUAAGCAUUUUUACCGAUCAAACAUUUCUAGAUUUUACUAUCUAGAGGAGAAGAACUACUAGCAUCCAAAACAUCAGAUUAGUUUUACUAGAUUUAUCAUGAAAUAUACUUUUAUAGUUCAUGAUUUUUUUUAUUUGAGGCACAAAUCUGCACAGAAAUUGAUCUUCAAUGUAUCAUUGAAAAACGUGUCAGUGUCCUAAAAGGCUUACAUUUUGGAUUGGAGGGAGUACUCAGUACUCAACUGACCUCUGGUAUUUUGAAGUAGUUUUCUGAUAGUUUUUGAGCUGUUAGUUCGCUUGAAUGCACUAAUGUCUUGAAAGACACAGAGAGCUGUGUGUCAAUUGUUUCUUUAUGUUUCUCAACAAUUUCUCCAAUUUACAUUAUAUUCGAUAUUCGUCGGAAUAUGGAGAGUUAGCUUGUUAGACCAUGUCUAAUCCUGCAUCGGUUCAAAGAGAAAAAAGGCAAGGCUUUGAAUCUAUGAGCCUUUUCCUCCAAUGUAUAAUAAAGGGAAGGAAUAAAUUGAUGCCUGCUUUGUUCUUCCUUGGAUUUGCUGCAAGAGAAAAAAGGCAAGGCUUUGAAUCUAUGAGCCUUUUCCUCCAAUGUAUAAUAAAGAGAAGGAAUAAAUUGAUGCCUGCUUUGUUCUUCCUUGGAUUUGCUGCAACUUCAAGCAUCAGUCCCUUUGAAUCGCUUUCUGCAGUGUAUCAAUCUAGCUCUAUACUUCCUCCAAAUCACUUUUCUGCAACACUGGUCUUAGAAUGUAACAUGAGCAAAAGGAGCAAGGUGUUGAAUUCAUGUAAAAUCAUUUCUUGUCAGAUUCUAGGGUCGGAUUGCCUCAUGUGAUCUGUCUCCUUUAUUUCAUAUCAGAUGGAUACUAUAGGUCGUAUAUCUAGUUGCAUGUGACACCCAGUUUUUUUUCUCUUUUUUUUAUUUGUUGUAAUUAGGUAAUUUAUUGCUUGUUUCAAAUGCUCUUUACAAGUUUUAUAUUUAAUUAACGAGCUGAACUCUUGUAGGAUGAGUGGAAGCAGAAGCUUAAACUUGCUGGUGCCCACUUCAGUCCCAGGGUUACCAAAGGUUUUUCUUUGCAUAUAUGAACUUCUUUUACAAUUGGAUUUGUAUAACAUUGGAACCUAGAUUUCCUUGUGCAACAUAUAUGGAUAACUGAGGUAAUUGUUUUAUGGAGUAGGGAUAAAGGGAAGAGGCUAUCUUAUGGCUAUUCUUAUGUCAAUAUGGAUUGGUGCCUCGUUGGCUAUACCACCCUUAGAUCCAACUAUCCAACAUCACUUCAUGUUUUGAGAUUCUUAUAUUUUCACCAUCUUCACUGUAGCACACCCUCAUGUCACACCAUAAUAAAGACACUUCUGUAGUGAGGCCUUGGUUUGACUACCACUUAAUUGAUAGUUCAUAUUCAGUCCCUAGCAUGCACAGAUUAGUUUAUCACAGAGUGCAAUGCCGCAUUGUGCAGAGAAAUAAAAUAUGCGUCCCUCAGCAUGAGCCCAUGGUCUGGGUUCGACUACCAUUUAAUCUUCAGUUUAUUUUCAAUAUCUGGUAGUGCAUAAUACGAGCUGAGUACAGAUUGGUUCAUCACGGAGGGUACAAUGCUGUAUUUUGUAGACAUAAAAUAUGCGAACCUCAAAGUACGAUGUUAUUGCACUAUGCUUAUGUUUACCUGCAUUGCAGAUAUUAAUUGUGUAGUUUCAUGUGGCGGGCUUGAUAACGAGAGUGCUGAAGUCAGGAAAGCUAGGUCUCACAUUUUACCCUAUCCAUUGUUUUUCAAUCAUAAUUUGGCAUGUUCUUUUUGCUCUAAUGCUGAGGUUGGAAUAUCAUGUUAUAUAUAUGAAUUUGUUUGCAGGAGGCAGAAGAUACCAAUCGUCAGAGAAGAUUACCUUGGAGAAUGCAUUAGAAAAAACAGGGUGCUUCCAUUUGAUUUAUACAAAGUAGCGACUACCUUGGAGGAGUCAUCAAAAGGUAGCACGGUCACUGUUAAAGUUAAGGGCCGAAGUGCUGUUCAUGAGGCCUCCGGUCUGCAAGAUACGGGCCAUAUUCUGGAAAAUGGCAAAAGCAUUUACAAUACAACCUUAAACAUUUCUGACAUGACACAAGGUGUUAACAGGCAAGGUUUUUGCUCAUAAUAUUUUUUUGAGGGUUUGCUCAUAAUAUUUUGUUGCAAAUUCGUGACAUACAUUUUGAGUUAGGGUGAUUGCGAAUAGUGCCUACUGGUUAGGGCACUUUUAGACUUCUAAUAAAUCCCGCAACAAGUUUUUUUCUCUCAUUUACCCCCUGCAAGCUUUCCAUUCCAAAUAUCCUCUUUCGACUGCAGUAUCCUUCAAUUUUAAUGAAUUCCACCUGAACUUUAGUGGUUAGGAGAAAUAUACAAUAACCGUGAAGCAACUAUCUUAUUUGUGUAUGUAUCCAGGCUAUAGGAAUUGGAGGUGGUUAAUCUAUAAUGGGUAAUAAAUCUGAGUUACUAUUCACAUUUUGUUUUUGAUGUGGUUCCUCGAAUUCAAUUUGAGUUUAUCUAAAACUUAGAGGAUGGUUUAAUACUUUGUACUCCAGAAUUUCUUCUCAUCCACACAAGGUUUAUAUACAGGGGCAUUUUAGAAUGACCGACUAACUAGCCUGAACAGGCUCAAAAUCAGGCCAAAGGGUUGAGGAUAAUUUCGUCAAUGCCUCACAAUGGUACGGCAGUUGCAUGUGAUUUGUAGUCAAGGGAACAUCACCUCAGGUCACCAGGUCGAUUUUGACAUGAUUUACCCCAGGGCCCCUUGUGUGGGUUAUAUCCCUUCUCCUGCCUCAGUUAGUAGUAUUAUAUGGAAAAAAGUGCACAAUAUUGGUUACAAAAGGGAGAUCUCCCGAGUUGGUAGGCAACUCGCCGAGCUACGAUAAUCAAUCUGGGCAAUAGGCGCCAUAAUCACUAGGGUUUGUAUGGAUCUAGAUUGCUUGGUCCCUUUCUGGGGUCCUCGGCACCUUUAUAUAGCUCCUGGAUGGCGGUAAUCUUCCUUCUCCUUUAUAUAGCCUCCGUCGUACACGCGUAGGGAGUUUGGAUCGGAUACAAUUAGAACUUGUGACCACCUCCUAUGCAAGGUUUCCUUAUCUUCCACCUGUAAUAUACACCCUCUAGAUUAGUGGUCCUUCACAUCGGCUUCCAAGUCCCAUAUACACCAAGGCCUGUACGGCCCGCUUGUACAGUUUGCACGGCACUGGGAUACGGUAAGCUGGCUUACCAUCGCCAAAGGGUAGGGUAAUAACCAGCUAAACAAAGAAACCAUAGCAGAAUGGCAGGAGGGUUGGGUGCUACCACCUCGGUCAUCUUCCUCGUAUGAGCUCAGUUCUUGUUAACAUUGUCACCAUGGAACUUUUAUUGAUCACCAUCAUAAAUGUCGUCGCAUUGCUUUUGCCAUCACAGUCGGCGUUGAUGUCAGCGUCACGUCUCCAGUUGAUCAUGCUGAGGGAUGGCGGCUGCCGGUGUGAUUUGUAUUAGGCUCAAAGGGAAAUAUACAGACUAUGUAGCACAGUACACAUAUGGAUACAGGGACACCGGAAAAUAGUAUUUAUCAAACAUAGGCUUAUCGGGAUACUUAUUUAGGUAUAUAGUGAAAAGAACAUGCCAUGUAUAAUUUAUGUUUUAGAGGAGAGAAGAUGAGAGUACUGCAUGUUUCCUCCUUCAGUCCUUCUCAUUGACGAAUGAUGUUGAUCUCCUCAAGUUAACUCCUCAGUCCUCACACGAUGGUCUUUACAACAUCAAAUACAUCAUAUGCUAGUUACCUUGCUGGUGAGAUGGACAUGAGGAUGAAUGUGGGAGGUGGAUGGCUCUUGUCUCCCAGCGGCGUGCAGAAAGACCGGNNNNNNNNNNNNNNNNNNNNNNNNNNNNNNNNNNNNNNNNNNNNNNNNNNNNNNNNNNNNNNNNNNNNNNNNNNNNNNNNNNNNNNNNNNNNNNNNNNNNNNNNNNNNNNNNNNNNNNNNNNNNNNNNNNNNNNNNNNNNNNNNNNNNNNNNNNNNNNNNNNNNNNNNNNNNNNNNNNNNNNNNNNNNNNNNNNNNNNNNNNNNNNNNNNNNNNNNNNNNNNNNNNNNNNNNNNNNNNNNNNNNNNNNNNNNNNNNNNNNNNNNNNNNNNNNNNNNNNNNNNNNNNNNNNNNNNNNNNNNNNNNNNNNNNNNNNNNAACACACACACACAAAAGAUUGGGCCUUACAUGGUCUUUCAGUGGAGGGGUUACUUGAUCAACUUGCCCCAUCUUUGUUUUUAUUUUUCUAAUACAACUGUAAGAAAAAGGGACAUUUGGCUGCUCUAUCCAUGUAGAAAUUCCCCAUUCGAGUCUACUAAAUUAAGUACAUGAUUGUAAUUGUGUAUAUCAAUAGUUUCCAGAAUCAAAAAACAUAUGCGCAAGUUUACGUUGAUUAUGGUUCCUGUUCCUGUCGGAGAUUGAUCUCCAGGAACAUAAACACUAUACAUUGGGAAAAUAACUAAUUCUGCUGUUGCUUCGUUAUAUAGGUUAUUGCUUGCCUUACUUCAUCUCUUACAAAUUGCUUUUUUGUUUCUGAAGCUACUAUAUACUUCAGAUCAUCGAAGAGGAUGAUGGGAGUGAAUGCUAUGUAUUUCGAAAGUGGGGACGAGUUGGCAGUGAAAAGAUUGGUGGAAAGAAACUGGAGGAGAUGUCAAAAACUGACGCAAUACGUGAAUUUAAAAGAUUAUUUCUGGAAAAGACUGGAAACCCCUGGGAAGCAUGGGAACAAAAAACAAA
RNAcentral lists this long non-coding RNA (47167 nucleotides) under Triticum aestivum (bread wheat). RNAcentral's name for it is "long non-coding RNA (TAES_LNC024426)". The stretch from base 25166 to 25303 matches the Rfam family "MIR1120/MIR1122 microRNA precursor family". The record is from RNAcentral. Lineage: Eukaryota; Viridiplantae; Streptophyta; Magnoliopsida; Poales; Poaceae.